This 56004-nucleotide long non-coding RNA is filed under the name Malus domestica (apple). RNAcentral's name for it is "long non-coding RNA (MDOM_LNC001475)". Lineage: Eukaryota; Viridiplantae; Streptophyta; Magnoliopsida; Rosales; Rosaceae. The record is from RNAcentral.
AUUUUGAAUUUGAAGAUUUGGAACAGUCGAUGUCUGAGAUUGGGAACCUGCGCAACAGUUCGAGAUUGCUGCCGGAUUUUCAGAGAAGAGAUAUGGCUGAUAUGGCUGCAAUGCUGGCCAUGAAAAUGGCUACCAUGUUUGGGGUUGGCAGUGAUGGUGAAGUGGAAAGUAUCGGCGAGUAAAGGCUAUGAGUAUCUGUUGACCCUAGAAAUUACAAAGCCUACGUGGCGCGCAGGCCGAGUAUAUUCUAAGCUAACUACGUCCUUCGGUGAUUGCGGGGCGUGCCAACUCGUCGGCCGAGGUUCGGCCGAGGAAUAAAUUUGAUGAUGCUGUGUUGAGUCGCGCUACUGACUUUUGCGUCUUGCGAUUGCGGCCGAGAAAGGAACACGUCUCGGCCUCUUGGGUUCUCGAGCCUGAAGACAAGGCUGCUAUUUCUUACAAAGUUCACGAACCGAAUUCGGCUUGCAAUGUGCCGAAUAAUAACUGUGACACCUCACCUCGCCGAGAAGGCUAAUGAGAUGACCUCGACCAACAAGGAUCCGAAAACCCCUCUCGACCGAGACUUGGAUAGGUAACCGACCGUUCUCGCCGCAGUGCUGUUGAUGCCAACGGAAGAUACUGCGAGACCGACCGACUCUACGGUGACAGAGCUAUCUAUGCCGACUUAAGAUACCACCGGUUGCUUCCACAGUGCUGUUGAUGCCAACGGAAGAUGUGUCAGCGAAAAAGGAAAAGAAAAAGAUCUCAAGUUGUGAGAAUUUGCGCAGGGCAAUUUUGUAUUGAUUUUUGUGGGGGCCUCUUGAAUAAUGCACAGCCUCAUGUAUUUAUAAUACUAUUUACUGGCCAUGUUGAACUUUAUCCGUCGCGGCAUCCAAGCUAUCAAAAUAAUAUUCCUCAGAAUAUUUUCCUUCAACAACCCCACGGAUUGCUAUUCAAUUGUUAUCUUUUGCAUGCCCAAAAGAGACCAUAUCACUUGGAACUCUACUUCCCGUCAGACAGUAUCCUAAACAUCACCAACUCUUGCUUGGUCAAUCCUAAUCUUUCACCCAUCCACAUAUGCUUUAUCCACGCAUACAUGAUACUUAAAACAAAUGGUUAAUGGUUUUUGCUUUAUCUGCAAAAACUACCAUGAUCCUGUCACAUCACCUUGUUUUGGUUACUCCCCACAUCAUCUCAAUGUGCUGAUCAUCCCAUUACUUUGUGGAAUUGCUCCCCACGGUUCCGUAUACCAAAUAGAACUCCAAUGCUGCAUGGUAUUUUACAUAACCACAAUUAAUUCAAACUCUGUUGUUGUUGUUUUCAUUGGAGAUAAUGAAAAUCCCAUUUAUUCCUCCGUAUAAGAAAAGGAUAAAUAAUGAUUAUGAUAAAAAUCAUAAUAUUAUCCCUCUAUCUUCACUUUUCGAUCGACGGUGUAGAAACGUGCUUACUCAACGGCCUUGAUUACUCGGGCCGAUGGUGUAAAUUUGGGCUCAAACAUUGCCCCCCAAUUUCCUUGCACUUCGGCUCGUAAGCCGAAUGGUUAAGGAAAUUAGCGCAGUUGAAGAAAUAUAUAGUCGAAGAGAAUUGAGCAUCCACCGCCGCAUAAAAAAUCACUCGGCAGAAAGUUGUUCUAAAUACAACCUUGCCGAGGAAGAAAAGCAACCAUAUACCAGAUGAUUGGGUUCUAUGCCGAAUACCCAACAGACAGAGCAACAUGGAGAAUCAACAGCCUCGGCAUCAAUCUAUGACAGCACACAAUACACUAAAACACAUUUUCAUGCAAGCUAACUUUAUACAUACAUAUAUAUAUAUAUAUACAUAUAUAUAUAUAUAUAUAUAUACAUAUACAUAUAUAUAGUUGAGGUCAAAAGCACAUGCACGUGGUCUUAGUGUUCUUCUCAGUUGAGGCGCACAAAACCCAAAAAGAAAAACCAAAUCAACUAGGCAAUACCUUGACAAGCCGUCCUUGGCCAACUUCUUUUAUAUAUCUCGGCCAACUUUUUUUUAUUUUUUUUUUAUUCGGCUUUUAUUCGGCCUCGGUCUAGACGGUCGAAAUGCUCCUUUUUUCCAGUUUGUGCAUCAAAAAUUAUUCCUACUUUUUCUCUCUUCUGCACCGAGUAUCAAAUUUAACCGAGUAUCUGUGUAGCCCCCCUUAUUUUCUUAUGCAUCGGCUUAAUUAGCCAGAUGAUUAAGAAAAUAAUUUAUUCUCUUUUUUUUUUUUUUAAAAAAAAACAGAAGAAAACGAAAGUGGCCGAUCAAUAGUAAGGAGGAGGCCAACGAUGCUUUACUCCAAGCCGAGAUCUUUUAAUAUCAAAAUUCUCAAAUUGAUUUUGCUCUAGGCCGAAUAAAGAAUUUUCUCCAAAUAUUUUUGACUUGGUGAAAUAUUUUUCAUUCUCGGCCGCCGAAUGUGUUAAACAAUUAUUAUGCCCCCCAGGCAUAAUUUCGGCUUUUAAUUCAAACAACUUAGCCGAACAGGAUUUCUCCAUAUCGGCUUUAUUGCCAAUAAUCAUAUCAAUUGGCGUAGUUUCUUGGGCUAGGCCAAUAUCUUGGCCUUGUUCGUCAUUGGAGCAUUCCUCUGACGAAUCAUUUUCCAAGUCAAUUUUUGUAUCUAGCUCAAGAACUUGAAUUUUUUCUUCUAGGCCUACCACACUUUCAGUCUCGACCGAAAAAAUAGGUGGCUUUUGUUCUUCGGCCAAAUUAACAAUUUUCUUAGGCUGAUGUCUGAUUACGGCCGGAGCGAAAAAUUGCCCCCCGGCCUUUAGGCCUAACCAUUUUUCAAAUGGAAUAGAUUUGUAAUCAGAAACGUAAGGAAAAUUUUCUUCAUCUAGCCAGGCAUUAAAUCGAGCCCUGUCUUCAUUUAUCCAUUGCCCUUGUAGGAUAACAGGAGCUUUUAUUUUCAACAUGCAAGCGAAUGACUUUUGCAUCUCUUUAUGGCCACGAAGAACUUUUUAUGCUUCCAAAGAUUUUUUUUGUUCCUCAUUGUAUUUUUUCAAUUCCUCUAGGAGCUCGUGCAAUCGGCUAAAUGGAGCCAGAUUGACAUUUUGAUCUAUCAUGUGAACUUCGUAGUUUUAGCACUGGGUCCCACUGGGCGUGCCAAAAUGUUGACCCUAGAAAUUACAAAGCCUACGUGGCGCGCAGGCCGAGUAUAUUCUAAGCUAACUACGUCCUUCGGUGAUUGCGGGGCGUGCCAACUCGUCGGCCGAGGUUCGGCCGAGGAAUAAAUUUGAUGAUGCUGUGUUGAGUCGCGCUACUGACUUUUGCGUCUUGCGAUUGCGGCCGAGAAAGGAACACGUCUCGGCCUCUUGGGUUCUCGAGCCUGAAGACAAGGCUGCUAUUUCUUACAAAGUUCACGAACCGAAUUCGGCUUGCAAUGUGCCGAAUAAUAACUGUGACACCUCACCUCGCCGAGAAAGCUAAUGAGAUGACCUCGACCAACAAGGAUCCGAAAACCCCUCUCGACCGAGACUUGGAUAGGUAACCGACCGUUCUCGCCGCAGUGCUGUUGAUGCCAACGGAAGAUACUGCGAGACCGACCGACUCUACGGUGACAGAGCUAUCUAUGCCGACUUAAGAUACCACCGGUUGCUUCCACAGUGCUGUUGAUGCCAACGGAAGAUGUGUCAGCGAAAAAGGAAAAGAAAAAGAUCUCAAGUUGUGAGAAUUUGCGCAGGGCAAUUUUGUAUUGAUUUUUUGUGGGGCCUCUUGAAUAAUGCACAGCCUCAUGUAUUUAUAAUACUAUUUACUGGCCAUGUUGAACUUUAUCCGUCGCGGCAUCCAAGCUAUCAAAAUAAUAUUCCUCAGAAUAUUUUCCUUCAACAACCCCACGGAUUGCUAUUCAAUUGUUAUCUUUUGCAUGCCCAAAAGAGACCAUAUCACUUGGAACUCUACUUCCCGUCAGACAGUAUCCUAAACAUCACCAACUCUUGCUUGGUCAAAUCCUAAUCUUUCACCCAUCCACAUAUGCUUUAUCCACGCAUACAUGAUACUUAAAACAAAUGGUUAAUGGUUUUUGCUUUAUCUGCAAAAACCACCAUGAUCCUGUCACAUCACCUUGUUUUGGUUACUCCCCACAUCAUCUCAAUGUGCUGAUCAUCCCAUUACUUUGUGGAAUUGCUCCCCACGGUUCCGUAUACCAAAUAGAACUCCAAUGCUGCAUGGUAUUUUACAUAACCACAAUUAAUUCAAACUCUGUUGUUGUUGUUUUCAUUGGAGAUAAUGAAAAUCCCAUUUAUUCCUCCGUAUAAGAAAAGGAUAAAUAAUGAUUAUGAUAAAAAUCAUAAUAUUAUCCCUCUAUCUUCACUUUUCGAUCGACGGUGUAGAAACGUGCUUACUCAACGACCUUGAUUACUCGGGCCGAUGGUGUAAAUUUGGGCUCAAACAGUAUCUAAGAGAGAUGUGAGUGUUACACAUCCCUGAAUCCCCUUGGACUUUUUUCCACAACGUGGCAAGGAAAGGAGAAUCGGCAGUCUUCUUUUCUCUUUUACUGUAUAAGUAGGUUCAGAAUAGUCGAUACCAAUUAACCGUGCCCAAACCGAGUUUGUAAGAAACUUGUGCUUUUAAUGAAACAAUGGAAAUGUUGGGAUUGCAUUCGAAAAUCGAAGGGAUGAAUCGAUUCCUGUAUGAGCGCAAUUAGUGAUGAUGUUUCUCAACUUCGAUAUGAAAACCAACGUACAAAUUACAAAUUUCCUCCAAUGAUGGAUGCAAAUCAAUCUUAGUUGAUGAAUCGAUUUUAUACUAUAUAUUACUCCCUAUUCUUGGUAUAUUUUGGUUAUUAUUUUGGUGAGAUUUUGAUGCUUUGUUAUGUGUUUUUAAUGUAGGACAUGCGAACUUGUUAUGAGCAUAAAGUAAUCAAACAGUGGAUUUUUUGAGUGAUUCCAAUUGGAGCGGGUUUAUGAAUCUGUCAAGAAGGCUGUAUCAAAAUUUCAUAAUUUUAUCCCCAAGCAUUUGAUUGUGGCGAAUUAAUUUAUACCCAACGCGCAGUGUUGGCAUAUGGGGCUGCAGAGCUUAUUUGCGACUCCUGGGUUGGAAGAUGAUGGAUUUUGGACUUGGACUUGGACUUUUCUUGAAACUUGAAGAGGAGGUCCUUUAAUUCAAGUCGAUUUGGGCUUGUUUUGGAGCCCUAAAGGUCCAAAAACGUGGUUAUCUCUUUGCUGGGCAGAUUUCGUAGUUAGAAUAGGAAUGCAAUUCCUAGUUAUCCUUUUAUUAUUUUAUUUCCUAGUUUUUAGAAACCUUUUCUAUGAGGGUUUAAAUUGGGAGUAGUAUAAAUAAGGAUUUUUUAGCCAUUAGGGUUCUGGGGGGAGAAUGUAUGCAUUAUUUUGUAGAACUUCAAACUUUUUACCUACAAGGUGUUUUCAUUCUUUUUUCUAGUUAAUAUAUUUUAUUUAUUUUUUAUUAUGAUUGUUCGUAACUAGCUCUUUUGCUAGGGCGAAGCCACAAGCCUUAGCAUGAAUAUGUGAUUUUAUUAAUUUGCCUAUGAAUGGAUACAUGCUUGCUUUGAAUUAUUAACCACGACGAUUAAGCUAUCUAAUUGUUUUAGUGAUUCGUGAUCAUUAGGGUAUUAGACAAGCAAUUUGAUGCAAUUUCUGUUGGAACAUCACUCUGAAAUUGAGGAAGGCUUCUUGUGAUUAGUAAUUGUAAGUUCACUUAAGGUGAACAUCAUGCUCUUAGGGUUGCAUGGUUUUUUGAAGGGUUUUCACAAAGCUUAAUGAAUCUUACACGUUUAUAUUUGAUCGGGACAUCACAGACGGAUUGCAUGUUAGAUAUAUAUUUUCGCUUGAACAUCACAAGGAAAAUAUGUAUUAGGAAAACCUAACCUUCAAAGCAUGUAUGUAGAAAUUCAUAAGUAAUUGGUAAAAUUACAUAGGAUUGUUAAUGGUGACUGCAGAAUCCUAGUGUUUAAAUUGUUUUCCAAAACCUUUGUCUUUUGCUUUCUUUACUUUGUCAAGCACUUAAUUAUUUUUAUUUAAAUUCGUUUUUAUUAUUUUAAAUUCCAAAACCAACCAUUUCAAACCUUUGUUCUAAAUAAUUAGCUAAGAAUUAGUUUAAAUACAAAUUAUUCAUUCAAUCUAUGCGGCAAACAACCUUGUUUGAGCUAUUAUACUACGAUACCCUUGUACUCUUACAAAUAUUUUUAAGUGUUUUUAUUCCUACUUUUGUAGGUGAUAAAAAUCCUAUCAAGAAAUUGGUGCCGUUGCCGGGGAUCGUUUCAAAUAAUUUGUGUUUAUCAUAUUCUUAGUUAAUUAUUUUUGUAAAUAUCUUUUUACUUGUUGAUUUUAUUUUUAUUUUUAUAGGUUAUGUUUUGUUGGUUUUGAGAACAGUUAAACGAUGGGCUGGAAUCUACAACCAACAGGAGGGCUACCUUCAUGGAAUUAUAUCAAUAUGAGGAACUCUCAAAGGCCUAGGUGCGAUCCAUACUCAAAACUUUACAAUCUAAGAGCCCCUUGAACAGCCAACCGUGCCACAAAGAUCUACUCUAGAUGACAAACUUGCUGAAUUGGCAGAGUGUGUCAAGCAAUUUGUUGAUAGCAUGCCGAAUACCAAACCAUCAGCAAAGAUAAUUGAAGAGCAAGAUGGGCAGCUUUCGUAUCAAUUCAUAGAAAAUGAGAACGAUUCAUAUUCAAACUUUUACAAUCGGUGGACAGAGCAUCCUACUUCUAUGUGGGUAAGCAAUCAACAGGCUUUUCAGCAGCCCUGUGUGCCACAAAAACUUUCUUUGGAGGACCAGAUUGCUAAGUUGGAGGAGUCCACUAGGUUGUUCAUGGAGGGUACCCCUUAGUUGCAGAAAAUAAAUUCAAUCGACAAUCUGGCACAGCAAAUCGAGCAUCUCACGUAUCAAUUGGAAGAACAAGAAAACGAUUCCAAUUCAAAUUUCCCUAAUCAACCAAUCGCAAACCUACAGGGUUCAAAGGAGUGCUCUGCAGAUCAAACAUUGAGAUGGGGGGAAAACCAACGAUACUACAAUGGAAGAAUCUGAAAUUGAAGGCCCAACGGGAGAAACAGCGCCUACUGACCUUGAACCUGUUAUGACCCAAAGGCAGCAGCAGACCAUGACGGAUCAACAAAAUCAAGAUUCUAUGCGGACACAUGCAAAAGUGCACAUUAAUCUGCCGCUACAGGAUGCGACUGAAAAAUCUCCAAAGCAAUCACUAAAUUUCAAUUUAUUCGAGGCUCCAAGGCAACCCGCUAAGCAGCAGGAAUGCAUGAAUACUCAAACAGAUUUGGAUACAGGGCAGACGGGUGGUGAUGAGAAAUUUUUAAAUGCUGUACUGGAUAGUACACCAGCACAGCCGAUCAUAUUUAGAGAAAUUUGGGGAAAGUCCUACAAGCAAGCUAAGAUUUGCAUGGGAAAUAAGAAAAAGCUUAAUGGCAGCUGCAUUCUUCGUCAACAAAUUCUACUAGUGCAAAGGUUGUGGGUGUUAAAUACAAGGUUCAAGUCAUCCAAGUAUUGAACUUUGAGUGUGUGGAUUAAUCUGUUCACAUGUGUGCAAUAUGAUUUGGCCGAUGAUAAUAAGUUCACCAAGUGUUUCAAGAAAUGCCGUAGUGAAUAAACUAAAUUUUCUUUUUGAGUGGUUCCGGCUCUAUUCCUAUCUAGGAAACUUGGACCUUCUAGGACCUCCAAUGUUUAUUCUACAAAGUAUUGCUUGUGAGUGCUCUGGAUUGCAAAUUAUGAUUCCAGGCAAUAAAGUUUCAAGACGGUUUGGCUGUACCCAUAAAGAUCAAACGACAUUUGAACUUCCUCUAGAUAACGAAGGAUGAGAGAGAGGUAAAUCAUGUGUUGCUCAUUUUUUCAGCUUAGCUGACAAUUAAUUAAUUAAGUCCGUCGAAAAAAAAUACAAAACAAAGAUGUGGCCUUCGAAAGUGGGCAAAUGGGUCGGAAUUAUUAUUUCAUUCCCGGUGAAGAAAGGCCACAGUUGAUUACAAUAUCAAAAAAUAAUUGAAUACAGACAAACUAUAGUGAUCAGAUCAAAGGAAAAAGAAACUCCAUAGUGGAGAGAAAUUUACCUACAUCAUCAUCGGAGAUACUUUCCUUGGUAUGGCCACUAUUAGUAAUAUUUUUAUAUUUUUCAGUUGUCUGUGAUUAUUUUAAAAUAUUAUAACGGUGGAUUGUUACAUCAAAGGUAGUUGGUAGUAGUUUGCAACAAAACUUUAUCUCCUUUAAAUUAAAGAACCCCAAGUAACAAUUUUAUAUUUUUCAAUCGUCAAUGAAACUGCCUAGAAAAUUCAUCUCCUUCAACUUGACACCACAUUCAUAUUGAAAGGUAGUAGGUAGGAAACCGCUUGGUAGGUAGGAAGAAAAGCAUGAGGACUAAUAUAACAAGAGAGAGUCCACAUUCACAUUGAAGGUGGUAGGAAACUGCUGCUUCCUUCAAGGGAAGAAAAGCAUGCGUAAGGCCUGAUAUUAAUAUAUAUAACAAGAGAGAGUCCAAUGUCCACACUCCAUAGUCCAUACCAUACUGCAUAUUCCAAUUCUUUGAGAGGCCUCUUUUCUUUAGUUUAUUUGUCUUUAAUUCUCUUAUGGCCAUUCAACUUGCCUCUUCUUCUUCCUUGCCUCCUUCAUGGACAUAUGAUGUAUUUUUGAGUUUUAGAGGUGAGGAUACACGCUUUACUUUUACAGAUCAUUUAUACGAGGCCUUGCAUCGUAACAGAAUCGACACCUUCAUUGAUCGCCAUUUUAAAAGAGGAGAAGAAAUAUCACCGGCUUUUCUAAAGGCAAUUGAAGAGUCGAGAAUUUCAAUCAUUGUAAUCUCUGAAAAUUAUGCAUCGUCAAGAUGGUGCUUGGAUGAGCUCGUACAUAUCCUUGAAUGUAGAAGGUCAAGGCAGCAAAUAGUUUGGCCAGUUUUCUACAAGGUGGAUCCGUCCCAUGUACGAAAUCAAACGAGUAGGUUCGGUGACGCAUUUACAGGACUAGAGUGCAAAUACAAGGACGAGGAGAAGAUCCUCUUAUGGAGGAGUGCUCUUAAAGAAGUAGCAAAUUUGUCAGGACAUACUGUCAAAGAGGAAGAGUACGUACAUUUCUUCACUCCUUUUAGUUUGUUUAAUUAUAUGAUUCUGUAUUUCAGGUUUUAGUUUCUACUAAAAUAAUACCUAUUUAGUUGCUAGUUUUUAAAUCCCUAGCACUUAAAAACUGCAGCAAUUCCAUAAUUUUCCAGCUUUGUUGAAUGGCAAGUCUAUAAUUUACAUAUGAAGAAGAUAACUCUUAUCAAUGCUACUAUAUAAAGUUGGAAGCCCAUUUGCGGUCACGGGUUUCACCAUAAAUGAUGGGAUAAAAAUGCUCCUCAAAUAAAAAAGUUCAAAAAAGUCUAAAAUAAUACAUGAAAUAAUGUAGGAAUAUUUUGGUAAUAUAAACAGCAUUUUUUUUAUAAUUAAUUUUUUUGUACAGUUUUAUUUUAUAUUAUUUUUAUAAUUAAUACCAUAAUGUGUUAGUAAUAAUGUGAUUUAAUCAGUUGUUAAUUAAAUAUUAUUUUCUCUAUUUUUAAACAUGUUCAAAACAUCUUAAAAGAUAUGUAAUGCCGGUUAUAAAAAUGAUAUUUCUUGCGUGUAUUAUCUACAUUAAUGAAAAGGGGAUAGAUUUACUCCACACGCGCUACGCGCAUGAAGGCCAGUUUAUGUUAAACCUACAUGACCAUCUUCUUCAUAUAUAAUUAUCGACUUGUCAUUCACCAAAGCUAGCGAAUCAGGGAGUGACUCCUGUUGUUGCGGGCACUCCUCUUUCGUGUAAUACUCUGUCAUUGUUUUUGGGAACUGAUAAACUCACCCCGUUACUCUUAUCUUCCCACACAUUAUUAUUCCAUCCGCCAUACAAAAUUAAAAAAAAUUAAAAAAAAUUAACAUCUUAUUUUCCAACCCCUAUAAUCUACAUAGUCAUUGGUUUUGUUGGAGAGUUGUAGAGAGCAAGAGAUCUGCUUCAUCAAUUCAACUAAUUUAGUUCGAAGCAAAAGAAUUAAAUCGAAAAAGUGGAAGUAAGAAUAUCAGAAACAGUUAAAAAAAAAAUUCGAAUCUGCAAGUAAAGGGGAAGCAGUUUAAGAGGGAGAGCGUACCGGCGAGCUUCUCAGCAUCGAACCAAGAUUCUGAUUCCCCUGUCCUCUCUCUCUCUCUCUCUCUCUCUCUCUCUCUCUUAAAUUGCUCUCCUAAAGCCGAGAUUUGAUUCAAAUGACCUGGAAGCUAUCAAAUUAAAGAUGCAAAAUUGCAACAAAACGUCCAAAAUUUUAAAAUUUGUUGGAAAAAUCCACAAACUGAUGAACAUAUUUGGAAUUGGAGCCCUAGAAAUCACAGAAACGAACCAUGAGAAAUGCUAUCUGUCGGUGGAUUCUUGAACUUCUUCCGCCACCGGAAUAAUGGAUCUUUCUCCCACCGAUCAAAACUUGACUCCAUUAAUUAAUCUGCCCAAAUAAUGUACCUAUGGUGUUGUUUUAUAAUUUACCGAUUACUAAUGAUGUUAGGUAAAUUAGUACUUUUAGGAAAUAAAUGAUACAUAUCCAUACAAAACAUCUGCUUUCAUCGGAGAAAUUUUAUUUAAACUCAUAUAAUCUUUUUUUACAUCAAAUUUACUCUCUUCAUUCAUAUUGUUUUUUUAUUAAAAAAUUAAUCUCUCUUUAAACCCAAAUUUAUUACCUAAACUAUCCACUCAAACCCAAUUCAAAAUAUUAAAUUAUCUUUACACGUAUUUCCUUUAUAAAAUAACAUCUGUAAUUAAUUUUUUUUUAAGAAACGUCUUUGCCCCACCCCCCUCUCCUAGUAGCAUUUUCAUGGCUACUUUUUUUCUUUCUGCUACCAAAUCUAGACAUUUACCUUUUUUUCUUUAUACUGAUGUGCAUAAGCAACAAAUCAAACCAUUCAUCCUCUUAUAUUAUCAACAAGCAAUGAAGUUUAUAAUCUAAGAACAUUGGUAAGAAGUUUUUCCUUAUAAUUUUUCAAUUGCAGAAAGCUUAACAAACCAUUCGGAAUUGAUGAAAAAAAUUUAAAUCAAAUGAACAAAAUAUUCAUAAAUUAAGUCAUACCUUAGUUGGAGGAUUCAAAACUUCAAAAUCACCAUCCAUCAAUAAAAAAACUCGUUUUUCUCUAGAAGACCUAUUAGGGUUUUAGCCAGAAUGAAGGAUAAACAAGAAGUGAUGGUAGAGUUUAAUGGGUUUAUUGAUAAAUUUGAGUUUUAUUAUUAAUUUCAUUUUGUACUUAAUAGUAAUUAUGCAAUAUGUUAAAAUAGACAACAACAUAACAUUUAAAUGAAAAAAAAAGUCUAUGUCUUAUUGUUAUUUUUUUUAAACAAAAGGGAAAAAAAAAAGGAAAAAGUCAAUGUCUUAAGUAUGGAUAUGGAAAGAUGUUAGGAUUUUACACAGUAAUAAACAGUGUGAAAUUGUGAAUAAUGGCAUAGGGGUAAAUAAUUUUUAUUAAUGUGUCAAUUAUUAUCUUACAUGAUUCUGUGUUUAGCUGCAAGCGGCACAUACUUGACUGCAGCAGUGAUUAUCCAUUCCUCUGUUUUUUGGACCUGGAUUGUCUGCCCUCAUCAUUCCAUGCCUUCCUAUUUAUGUGGUCACGGUUAAGCCACGUCAACAUUUUAUAUUGAUUUUGCUUUUUGUCUUAUUAUUUUUAUAAAAAAAAUUAAUAUAAAAUGUUAACGUGGCUUAACCGUGACCACAUAACAUAAGAGGGCAUGGGGAGGGCAUGGAAUGGGAAGGGCAGACAAUCCAAGUCCCUGUUUUUUUCAAUCUUUUUUUUCUUUUCAUUCUCUUCUUCUUUUUACAUUUUUUUUUCCUUUUUUAAAGAAAUAUAGCAGAAAAAGUUGAUUGGCUAAAUGUGUCAAUUUUUUAUAUAAACUGGUAGGUAUGAAGCUACAUUUAUCAGUAAGAUCGUAAAGGAGAUCUUGGUCCGCAUGCAACAACGCAUGCAUUUGAACGUAGCCAAAUACCCAGUUGGAAUUAAGUCCUGUGUAGAAAAGGUGAAAGAGCUUUUAGGUCUCGGUGGAAAUGAUCCGUGUGUGGUUGGGAUUUGGGGGGCAUCUGGAAUCGGCAAGACAACAGUUGCAAAAGCUGUUUAUAAUGCAAUUGCUUAUAAGUUUGAAGGUAGUUGUUUCCUGGCAGAUGUUCGAGAAACGUCAAUGCAAUACGGAGGCCUAUUCCAACUACAAAACACUCUUCUAUGGGAGAUUGGUGGUUCAGAGUGGAAAGUUGUCAAUCCUCAUAGAGGAAACAUCCUUAUAGAGAAACUGUUGAGGCGAAAGAAAUCUCUCUUAAUUCUUGAUGAUGUGGAUGAUUUGGAGCAGUUAAGCAACUUGGUUCAAGUUAAAUGGCUCGGUGAGGGUAGCAGAGUGAUCAUAACCACAAAAAAUAAAGGAUUGCUGGAAUCUUGUAAAGUUGAGCUGAUAUACAAGGUCCAAAAGUUAGAAGACAACAAAGCUCUUGAGCUUUUUAGUUGGAAUGCCUUCGGAAAAGAAAAACCUCCAGAUGAUUAUUUGGGACUCGCACGGCGUGCAAUAGGCUAUGCUCAAGGCCUCCCGUUAGCUCUUAAUCUUAUAGGUUCUCAUCUGCGUGGUAAAAAUAUAGAUCGUUGGCAAGAUAUUUUAGAUAGUUACGAUGAAGAACCUUAUAGAGGGAUUCAAAGAGUACUUCGGAAAAGUUAUGAUACCUUGGAUUAUGUCCCGCAACAAGUUUUCCUAGACAUUGCAUGCUUCUUCAAGGGUGAAGAUAAAGACAAAGUUUUACAGAUAUUAAAAGGAUCAAACCUCAAAGUACGUCAACAUUGUAUUGAUGUUCUCGUUGAGAAUGCCAUUAUUACUAUUGAAUAUAAUAGGAUUUUGAUGCAUGACUUGCUAGAAAAAAUGGGUAAGCAUAUAGUUUGGGAAGAAUCGCCCACUGAACCAGGCGAGCGGAGCAGAUUAUGGCAUCAUGAAGAUGUGUACCAUGUUCUAACUAAAAAUAGAGUAAGUAGAAUAUAUGUUCUUGCAUUUGAUUUAAUUGGCAUGAUUUUGGAAAGAAAAAAAAAUUAAAUCCUUUUGAUUUCUUUGUUAUACAAUUUGUUUGUUAACGCUAUUUAUUUUUCCAUCUUAGGGAACAAAGAAAAUUAAGGGCAUUGUGGUGAAGUUGCCCAAGCUAGAUGUGAUACCCUUGAAUGCAAAAAGCUUUUUCAAGAUGGUAAAUCUUGAAAUUUUUAUAAUCCAUAAUGCAUAUUUUUCUGGAUGCGUUGAGUAUCUACCCGAAAAUUUGAGGUGGAUUAAAUUCGGUGAAGAUGGGCUUCAAGACUGGGGAUCCAAACUUAAAUUCAAUUUGCAAUCCAAUUGUCAUCUAAGGCAUCUUGUCACGUUUAUUAUGCCAAACAGUGACAUCAGACAAUUGAAGGUAUUUCAGGUAUGUAUACGUAUUAUAAAUUAAUUUGGACAAUUACUAAUUUAAUUGUAUACUUUAUUUUUGGAAAAAGAAAUUUGCCAAAGCUUUUCAUCAUUAAUUAUUUUAUUUAAAGUUUGUGAUUUUUUUUUUAUUUUGAUUUCUCAGAAUUUGGCAAAGCUUACAUCUUUGAAUUUAAGUGGUUCCGAAUUCUUAGAAAAAAUUCCCAACUUAUCCGGAAGUCCAAACCUAAGGGAGUUGAUACUAAAUAAGUGUAAACGUUUAGUUGAAGUUGAUGAUUCUGUUGGAUUCCUUGAUAAACUUGUUACAUUACGUCUUGUUGGGUGCUCUAGGCUUAAGAGAUUUGUGACGAGACUUAGAUUGAGAUCCCUUCAAAGGCUUAAUCUUGGUGGUUGCACAAGGCUCAAGAGUUUCCCAGAAAUAGAGGUCAAGAUGGAAUCUCUAGAGUAUUUGGCUAUAGAAGAAAGUGGCAUAAGAGAAUUGCCUUCAUCAAUUGCAUAUCUUACUGGGCUUCAAAGAUUGCAUGCAAAUUAUUGUGAGAACCUUACAGGUACAUCAUUACAUCACAUUUAUGGGUUGCAACAUCUUUACUAUAUUGAAAUGAAUGGAUGCCCAAAACUGGUGACAUUUGGGAAGUUUUCAACUCGCUUAGAUACUUCACAUUACAACGGUAUGCCAUUAGCCAUUUUCAACGUAAGCCGGCUUUAUCUUAUUGGAUGCAAUUUAUCAGAAAGUGAUUUCCUUGUGCCUCUUCAAUAUGAACCAUCCAAUCUUCAUUGCUGGUCCACAUUAGAAGAUCUUGAUCUGUCGGCAAACAAUUUUGUUAGUCUUCCGGAUUGCAUUAGCAAAUUUGUCAACUUGAAUGAGCUUAGAUUGCAAGGUUGCAAGAGGCUUCGGGAAAUUCCACAUGCCCUUCCACCAAAUCUAAGUGAUUUAUAUCUGGAUGAUUGCACAUCAUUGGAAAAAAUUCCAAAGUUGCCCUUGGGGCUUAGGCGUCUGCAGUUGACUAAUUGCUUUGGACUAAGUGGCGAUGAGGUGGCAAAGUUGGAAAAUAAUUUGUUGAACUUGAAUCAGGUUCGUCUCUCCUCUUUUAAUUUCUCUUGAAAUUAAAAUAUAUAAUUUGUCGAUACUUGGGAGGGAGAACAGAUGACGAUUGUUUGUAAUUAGUUAUUUACAUAUUAUUCACUAUUGCAGGAAUCUCUUCUGUACUCUCAAUUGCAAGUUAUGUAUCCAGGCAAUGAAAUUCCAAAGCGGUUCAGCUAUGCGUCUAAAUAUCUAACAGCCACUAGGAUUGAAAGUAUACGAAAUGAAGAUGAAGAAGAUGAUGAAGAAGAUGAUGAUGAAGAUGAAGAAGAAGAUGAUGAUGAAGAUGAUGAAGAAGAUGAUGAAUAUGUUGGAGGUAGUGAAUUUAGUAUUGAAAUUCGUCUAAAUUUACAGGAGAGGGAGACGUUAUUAGGAUUGGCUCUAUCUUGUGUUUUUCCACCACGGGUAUCAGAAUUUGGAUGUUUUUACCAUUUUCGUAUUUACAUCAACGAAGCAAGUGAUUUUGAAUUAUUUCAUUGGAUGGGGAAGAGCAUGGAGACAGCUCAUAUGGGGCUCAUGUUAGUGGAUUUAGAGAAGCAGGGAGAUAUUUGUAAAGUUAAACUUCAAUUCCCCGUAUGGGCACGCAUUAAAAUGUGCGGGGUGCACCCCUUAUUCCGCAAAGAAGAUGAUCGGCAACAACAAUGGCCUUCCUUAUCGUCGAACCCAGCGAUGAUCAACCGAAACGCACGCAGAUUGAUCACAAUGUUCCUUCUGAUAUUAAGGUACGGAAAAGCCCUUGAGCUUUUCAGUUUUAGCAAUUUUUUUAUUGUUCUUUAUUGUGAUAUCAUUUUUUAAAUUAAUAUAAUAGAAAUUAAUUAAUUUAAAUUAAAUAAAGGAAAAAAUUUGAACAGUUUUCAAUCUGCAUAAUCAAAGAUUUCAUAUCUGUAGGUGGUUAGUUAUUAGAAAAACAGAAACCACAUUUGUAUCUUGAAGUACAUUUCACUAAUCAAAUCAAAUUCUAAUUAAUCAAAACAAACAAUUAUGGAAGGGAAACAUACAAGGAGAAAUGAGAUUAUAAGUACAAAAUUCAAGAUUAAUUACCUAAAAACUUGGUUUUGUUCAUAUAAGUACAAAAUUUCUACACGAAGAUCAAAGAACUACAUCGUAUGUAAACCACAUGCUUCUCUUUGUUAAUCAAGUUUACACGCAGAGAUGAAAGACUUGUAGGACUACUGUUUAAUCAAGAAUCGGGGUUUGCAACUAUUUUUUUAUUAGCAUUUACUUCUGCUUUUUCAAUUAAUGGAUACGUGGAAAAUUUGAUUUGGUGUGGAUUUAGAAAAGAAGCAGGGAGAUAUUUGUAAUGUUGAAUUUCUUUUCCUCAAGGGCGCAUGCAUUAAAAGUUGCGGGGUGCACCCACUAUUGCGCAAAGAAGACGAAUGGCUUCCCUUGUCUUUGGGACCAACAAGUAGUCUUGGAAAGACGCCUCGUCCACUUGGAUCCUCAGAUACCGUCCACGAGGAAUAUGAUCGGCAACGACAAUGGCUUUCCUUAUCUUCGAACCCGGCGGAUGAUCAUCCGAAACGCAGGCAGAUUGAUCUUAAUGGUCCUUUUGAUAUUGAGGAGGAGGAGCAAGAGCAACCAUCCACUUCAGAUGAUUCACAAUUUUUUCUUCAUUAGGAGUUUGGGUACGUACAUUUCAGUUUUAGUAUAACUAAAUAAUUUUUUUAAUUUUUUUUUGUAUUGUGAAUUUGUGAUACCUUUAUAGAUUAAUAUAAUAAAAUUAAUUAAUUUAAAUUAAAUACAUAAAAAAAAGAAAAUUACAUUUUACCUCCUCAACUUUGGGUCACAUAACAAUCUCAUAUUUUAUCUUUUAAAUAUUGCUAUAUUAUACAUCAAUUUACAAAUUUGCUGCAAUAUCAUGCCUCCAUCAACUUUUCUGUUAAUUUUUAUGUUAAAUGCUGAUGUGGUAGACACGGAUCCGCUCACUUACUUAACUAGGUUAUAAAAUUAAUUUAAUAUUAAAAAUUAAAGAAUUUUUAGUUCUAAAUUAAAUUAAAAUUAACAAAUAAAUUGAUGGAUAUUUUAACGGAGGUUUAAGAUUGCAACAAAUUCGUAAGUUAACUAAGACAUUGUAAUGUUUAAAAGAUGAGGUAUAACUUUGUUAUAAGACCCAAAGUUAAGGUGGCCCAUGUAAUUUACCCAAGAAUUUAAACAAUUUUCAAUUUGCAAAAACAAAGAUUCCAUAUCUGUAGGUGGCUACUGGCUAAUUCUUAGAAAAACAGAAACCACAUUUGUAUCCUAAAGUACUUUUGACUGUGAGUGAGUAAGCCACACUUCAAUAAUAAAACCAAAUUCUAAUUAAUCAAAACAAACAACAAUGGAAGGAAAACAUACAAGGAGAAAUGAGAUUAUGAGUACAAAUUUCAAGAUUAAUUAUCUUAAAACUUGGUUUUGUUCAGAUAUAUAAACCUACAAAGAGAAAUGGAGAUUAUAAGUAUAAAAUUUCUGCAGGAAGAUCAAAGAACUACACCGUUUGGAUGAACAUGUAGAGCACGUACUCCUCCCUCUGUUAAUCAAGUUUACACGCAGAGAUGGAAAACUUGUUGGAGUACUGUUUAUAUAAGAGUACUUUUUAUGAGCAUUUCCAAUUAACGAAUAGGUGAAAUUUUUUGAUUUGGUGUUGAUUAAUAAGAUUUAGUAUGAUUUUAAUAUCAAGAUGAGACAACAAUAUGUAGAAAACAUGGCCAUAAUUUCACAGGUCUCUGUCCCUAUAUAUUGAUUCCUUGCAGAUUCUGGGAUGGAGUUUGGGUCAAAAUUGCAGCCAACUGUGUCUUGACACAUUUUUGGUUUUGGACAAAUACUCUGUCUCCUGCCUUUUGCCAUUUAUGGCUCCUUUGUUUUCUCUGUUGCUGCUGGGACAGAGUCCAUUAGAUUUGCCCGUUUAUUUUCUUUGCUCCCACAAACGGGGUGCAGGAGGCUAAAAAAUGAGCUUUGAAAUUUAUAGGGCCCGUUUAUUUCAUUCCAUUGACAUUUUCAAGCUAACUUUUUGGCUUCUAUGAUCCACAGGUGAGUUGGCUUCGCACAGGCAAGGAAACAUCAUUGGAAGAGUUCAUCCUUAGUCCCCCCAAUGUGCUUACUGAAAAUCAGGGAAAUCAAAUACGGCUAUAUGGUCCCGAAAAGGGCUUAUCAUACAUCGCCAAACCUGCAACUGGACAGAGUUUUAUAUCUCACCACGGGAGCACGUUGAACCUAAGCAUGCCUCUCGUGGAUCCUCUGGUCACUCUCUUUGGCAGUGUCCACGAGAAGAUGUCCGAAAGGGGAAGCAAAGGCAGCAUGCUUUAUCCAAAUCUUGGAAGCAUUUUGAAUGCAGGGGAGUAUCAUAAUAAAAACGCACAUUGGGACAUAGAGAGCCAGACAGAUGGUGAGGAUCACGAAUCUGAAGCAUCCGGGGCUUAUUGUGAUGAAAGCUUGAGAAGUCCACUAAUCUCGUGCCAAACAACAGGCAUGGGAACGCCUAGGUCUUGCGGCAGUGCUUUAGGUGUGAGAUGCAAUACAAUCUUGAUGAAAGGAAAUGUACAAGCUAGCGAGGCUAUCAGUAGUAGUAUGGACACUGGUGGAGGUUGGCAGCUGGCUUAUAUAUAAGUAUUCUGACCGAGUAGGCGAAGACGGGAAGAAGGAAGGAGGAGUUCAAAAAGUGUAUUUGCAUCAGGAUAGUGCACUUUGGUGUCGGCCUGCGUCGGUUGUUUCAAUUUCUGGUGCAUUCAUGGUGGUCUGGUUAGUCAGCCUGAUGUUUCAGAAACUUUCUUGUUUGUCAACCUUCUAUGUUGUCGGGUGCAUCGAUUCUUGGAUAUUUGUUUACUUGAAGGUGCCUGAAACUAAGGGCAUGCCUCUUGAAGUCAUCUCUGAGUUCUUUGCUGCAGGUGUAAACCCAGCUGCUGCUGAUGCAUCUGCGGAUUCCAAUGAAAAGUGAUUUGAUUGUUUAGAGGGUUUGAAAUUUGGUUUGAUUUUAGACUGGGAUUGUGAGGAUAGGGCUUGAAUUGGAGAAGUGCUUAUGACUAGAUUGCUUUUUUUUAAAGUGAUUUUCUAAUCAUCAAUGUCCCUUCCUUAAUGCUGCAGAAGUAUAUUUGAUAUGGAAAACUAAUGAAAAUGGCUUGAAAACCCUAUUUGAUACCAUGUUUUCUAAUCAUAGAUUCUUAAUCUAAUCCUAAAUAUUGAUUGAAGUUUAAAACAGUCUAAUUAACCACCCUUGUAGUUCCAAAUUGAAGUUUAAAACAGUCUGCACUUAUAUUUUCCUAUCUAUUUAAUUUUAGGCAGACAUAUAUUGUUGUAGACACUCUUUCUUAUUAUUGUGAUCAUAUACCAAAUAACUCAAUAUAGAUCACAAUAAUUCUUACUGAAGUAUGGUUUAAAUUUUUGUUAGAUAUGAAACUGAUCAAAAUCAAAUUGCUCAUGCGUUACAUUGUAUUUAAAAAAAACGUGUGUCUAACACUAAUUUGAUUUGCAUACUGUCUUAUAAGAUCUUAUUUAACUCGUGACAAAUAAUAGUAUAUGACUUGCUAAUUUAUUUACAAAGGAGAAAUUCACUAACUUUACGUAUCCUAAACGGCCAAUAUAUGCACCUGAGUUUGAAUUUUCAUUCCCAUAAUAUAGAUUUUUUUUUUAAGUUUGUAUGAAAAGAAUUUUACAAUGUCUUGAAAAAAUAUGAAGGAAGAAAAAAAGAAACUGUUUUUAACUGCUGCCUAAGCUGAGCCCAGUUGCCGUGUAGCACUAGCAAGUAGCAACAGGAAAGUCUGCUGAGAAAAGUCAGUCAUCGUCUUCACUAAAUUGAGUUAGAAGAAUUAGGGGUUUAGAUUUGCAAAGAUCCAAAUUUUAUCAGUCUCUCCGAAAGUAAUCAGAGAAAUGGAAAGUCAACCAAAGAACGGAGACUCGCUGGAGAAGCGGCCCGGCAUCUUCUUCCUCGGCUCCCCCGGCGUCGGCAAACGCUCUCUCAUUACGCGUAAGCUCUCUCUCCUUUGACCGAUACUAAGCAUGAUCUGUUGAUUUGUUGGAUUACUGGGUUUGGAUUUAUACAAUGCUUCUGAUUCUUCAUCGUCAUCUCAACUGGUAGUCAAUGGGUAUGUAAAUUUUUAAUUUUGGGAUCAAAGAAUUCAAUUUUAGGAAUUUUGGGUACAAAGAAUACAACUUUUAGGAAUUUUGGCAACAAAGAAUUCGUUUUUAAUUCUUUUGAAAUGUGAAUUUUGAUGAUUUUUUUUGUGUUAAAAAAAUAGAUGGAAUAUCUCUACAAAGUACUACACAGCUGACGUUUCGGUAUGGAUGGCUCGUCUCCAUGACGAAUUUUCGAUUGAGUCCCUCCCAAUGUUUGACCAGUUGGCUGCCUUGAUCUGGUUUUCGACACAACUGAGGUUUCCGUCUCUUGCCACUCACUCUUUGUCAUUUUGUUUACUUAUUUAGCAUGAUUUUCGAUGUGUCUUGUAUCAAUUUGUUCGCGUUAUGCUGCAGUUGUCGUCUCUGUCUGCGCUUCAGAAAUAGGUAUCUUGAACUGAUCUUCAAAAGUUCGAUAUACUAGUGUGCAUAGGGAAUAAGGUUGAUCUUGUUCCAGGUCACCCGGUUCAUACCGAAUAUAGAAGACGACUGCAGAAGUUUGGAGACCAGUUUGAUGAUGACGACGAUCUAGGGUUCACUGUGUAUGGAAUCACCGAGACUGAAGGAAGCAGUUUAUUGGGGGAUGACGAGUCAUAGGCCAGAGACACAUGUUUGGAAUGGUGCACUGAGCAUAACUUUGAGUUCGUCGAAGCUUAUGCUGAUUUUAACAAAUGUAAGGCAGCACUUCUUUCUGACUCGUAUUUUAUGGCAAGUUUUAUACGAAAGUGAAAGUUUGAAGCCGGAUGAGAUGUCAAAUUGUUACUAGGCAGCAGUUUAGGUGUGGUUACAUAAAAACACAUGGUGUACCAUACAACUAAAAAUUUCUCCCACAUAAGCAGCACACAGGAUAAACUCAAUUGAACAAGUUGUUGCUCAGGCUCUUUUGUUCAUGAAGAAAUUUUUCAUUAUUGUGCCUAGAAUCAAGUUUUUAAUUUUUUUUUCACACAAAUAUCUCAUCACUUGUUUAGUGACACAUGAUGUAUCACCAUGUGUUAUGGGUAUACUGAAAAAUCUCUCGGCUCUAUCUCUGUCAUCUUAUAAUUUAAUUUCGAUUUUCGUGCCAACAUUACAAAACAUUAUUUCAAAAGUAUGAAGUGAAAGAUAUUCUAUGGAGACUAGGAAUAUAAGUUGCUUAUUAAGGUUUUUAUUUGACCAAUGUGAUAUUUUGGUUAGGUAAGUAAUUGAAGGUGAACGUUCUUAGUUAUCUGAAAACAUUUUUCUGAUGGUUUUAGAAGCAGCCCAAGUGACCGGUUCGAUAUUUAGGUAAGGAGGUAAAUGAUUAUGUACAAGCGUCGAUAACAUAUUCAAAAUCUAAAGCACUUAUAAACUAUCAUGAAGUAAACGUUCUUGAUUAUCUAAAGCACUUGCAAAAUUAUUAAGAAAAGGAUAUUCUUAGUUAUCUGAAAACACUUUUUUCUCAAUAAUUUUUAGAGGCAAUUUCGCAGUGUUGAGAUGUUAGCUUCGAAGGCACUCCAACUUGCAAAGAGUGCUCCACAAAGUUCAACAAAAGUAGAAACAAAAUCAAUUAAAAAUCCCAACUCACAAGUGAGAGCAAUGGUUAUGCUUCAAGGUCCAACCAUCUGACCUCUCUAAGUUAGGCUUCAAUUUUACUUCAUUUCCCACUCCAAAUUUCCAAGCAUCUGUACCCCAUUGACCCUUUGCCCGCUUUAAGCAAUCUAGAAAAAUCAUUUACAUAAGAGAAAUACUAAGUGAAUUCUUUCAAAACGAACUUUUCAUAACUCUUCGUCACAAAAAAUAAUUCAAUUUUAUUGUCUCCUUUGCAUGCAAGAAUUCAAUUUAUACCUAGCUGAUGUACAUCAUUGUAUAAAAUUCCAAAACUACCAGUGCUUUGGAUUCUGGACCUGACUAAUCACUGUAGACUAAGUAGUGAUGAGAUGGCAAAGUUGGAAAUAACUCGUUGAAUUAGGUUCAUCUCUUCUUCUUAAUUUCUGAUGAAAUGAAAAUUAAUCUUGUUGAUAACUGUAAUUAUUUAACUAUAUAUAUACAUUACUGCAAGAACUUCUUCUGCGUUCUGAAUUGAAAAUUGUUCUUCGAAGCAAUGAAAUUUCGAAGUGGUUCAGAUAUACAUAAAAAAAUUAAAUUUUUUUUCAUUGUGACGGGAAUACAGGUUACCACCACGGAUGUUUAUGUAAAUGGUGGGAAAUUUUAUUUUUUAAGUUAUUAACCUUUUAACAUACAUAUCCCAACAUUUGUAUAAUGACAUAUGGUAUACUAUUUCGUGUGCCGGUCACAUUAAAAAAUCACUCUGGUUAAGAAAAAAAUGCAUUAUUAGUCUAAAAGACCACCGAAUGUCGGUGGGACCAAGUUUGAUUGCACUGCUCCCUCUUUUUUAUUCUUGAAUUAAAAAAAAUCAAAAAGGAGAAUUAAUAGGUAAAAGUAAAAAAAUAAAAAAAGUACAAAAGAAGGAAUCGGGUGUGAAGAAAAUCACUCUACAAUACGUAAUACUUUUGUUACAUUUUUGAAAGUCAAUUGCAUGUUGAUGUGCUUUUAACUUUUGAGUACAGAAUACUUAAUAUUUGUCAAUCAAUCAUCGGUAUAUAUCAUGUUGGAAGAGGAUUCCCAUUGGAUUCUUUUUGUGGAGAUUUAGGUGAUUUUCUAAUUCUGCGUAUUUAUCGUUAUUGUGUAGUAAAAAAUCAUAUUAAAUAUUUAUAUUUAAAAUUAAAAUUAAAUAUUAUUUGACGAAAAUUGAUCGAACGAUGAACAAUAAACGCACCAAAUUAAAGGAUCUCCCUAAAUUCCCAAAAAAAAAAAUCUGAAGAUGAUCCUCUUCCUAUCAUGUUGAUAUCGUGGAGCACAAGGUAAUAGUUAGCAAACGAAAUUGAUAGGAUAGGGGUAAUGUGAUUAAUACAAGUGCAAAGACGACAACGAGGGAUAAAGUGAUACUUUCGUGCUAGUUCCGAGGACAUUUUGGUAAUUAAGCCUUUAUAUUUACUAAUCUUGAUUUGAUUUAUAAUUAGUACUCAUUUUUGGCGUCGUAUCAUUCUGACAUGGAUUCCUUCCGGAUCCAUUAUGUGGGGAACUAGGGAUAUUUACAUCUCAGUCGUUUAUUGUGUAUCGCAUGAUCAUAAAUCAGUUGAUUUUUAUUUAUUUAAAAUUAAACACAAAUUGUACAUGAUGAAAACUGAUCGCAUAAUAUACGAUGAACGCUGAGAUGUGUUGAAUCUUUAUCGAUCCCUUUUUUUUUAACGUUUAACAAUUGAACUCAUUAAUAUUAAAAUAGAUAAAAAUAGAGUACGAACAAAAAAAAAUCUUAAAUGCUUUUGUUGCAGUCUUUCAAGUUAAUUGCGUAUUUUCAUGCAUUUUAACCUUUGUAUGUACAUAAUUGAUUUGUCAUACGGUCAUAGUAGCUUCAUAUGACAUCGUUUAUGUGUCAUGCGGGUGAAAAGAACGUGUGCUUCAAUAACAAACGAAAAUAAUAAAUAAAUAAUAAAACUAAUGAAAAUGGUUUGAAAAUUUGAGUUUUAAUGAUAAAGACAAAACAAAGGAUAAAGUAAAUAGUAUCAGGAUUGACUUUUUAGUAUAAAAAUAUGGUUUUUCGUUAAAGUGAACAGUACCGAAAAGUUUUUUUGUUAAAAUUCCCUAAAAAAAAAAAUCAAUCUUUAUGAAUAGAAGUUGCAACCAAAGCUCCUCUCCAUCAAUUCUGGAAGGUAGCACGUAGGAAACUGCUUUGUGGCUGUGGGUAGGCAGAAAAGCAUGAGGCUUGACAAGAGAAAGUCCCCAAGUUUAUUUGGCUUUUAGUAUAAAUUAUUUUCUCAUUUGUCGAAGAAAAAAUCACCUUAAAUGACUCACCUUUCUUCAGGUAUGCGACAUUAUUUAUAUGGUUCAAAAUGACACAAACCGGAUAUAAAUAAUGUGGGGGUGUGGUUAAGGAAAAAAUGCAUUAUUACUUUGGUAACUCAAAAACCAUCUAUUGUUGGUGAAACCAGAAUUUUCCUAACAUUUGCUCACUGACGUUAUCGUUUUGUUGAAAAAUAUAAAUAAAUUCUGCACCUGCAUCCUGUUUUCAAUGCACUGCAUAUUCCUCUGCUUCUCUUGUUUUUUUUUUUUUUUUUUUUUUUUUUUGUUGUUCUCGUUACGAAAAUGAAAAUUAUCCAAAAUGAAUGGUAUUAGCUAUUCCCAUCCUAAAUGGAAGCGUGAAGGGAUUGUAAGAACUUUAACACAGAUCGAUGAUAUGCCAAUUGAAUUACCAAUGUUCUGAAACAAGUCAAGUGACAAAACUUAUGAACAAGAACAAGGAUUGCCGAGAACAUACCUGCAGAAUUUGAACUUGAAGAAACCAUAACAGCCUCUGUGUUCAAAACCUUCUCCUCUUUUACGAUCACAAUAGCUUUUCUAAUCAAUAGGACUUAGAACAACAUAAGCUAAUAUCGCAAGAGCAGUGGUUUGAACCAUAAAUAUAUAGUGCUCCUUCGUCCAUUCCCUAUCAGAAUUGGACUAGGAUUCAAAGACAUACAAACCAUAAAGAUUCAUGAGACUUUAUAAAGUUCCAACACAAAGUUCUUUUCCAAAACCAAUUGGAACUUCUCUCAAGACUGCAUUCCUUAUCAGAUUUAGACUUCUUUAUAAUAUCAAUUAUCCCAAGACUUAUAAGAAUCAUACUCAUACUCUUACAUUCUCCCACUUGAGUAUGAUUCAUCACAACAGAUAAUCAUCUCAAAUUAUAAAGGUGAUCAGAUAAGUCAUUCACCAUCACACUAGUACAUAGACACAACCUGCUUACAUAAACCAAAACAAUGAAUUUAUAAUUGCCUAUGCAACACAAAAUACAGAUUUAACUUACAAAUCACAAUGUCCAGUUUAUGUUCAUAGCAAUGUAUCUAAGCUCAAAUUUAUAUAAAAAUUACCAAAUGUUUUGGAUAAAAGCUUAUCCUCACAUACAACUUACCUAUGCAUUUUACCAAACCAAUUUGCUCCCACUUAUCUAGGCCAUACUUAACACAAACAAGUUAAGUAUAAGUUAAUAUCAACUGUAUUAACUAACAGUCAUUGCAAUACACUGAAUGUCUUAUUAAUGUGAUCAAUUGCCGCAACCAAUACGCAAACAAAUUCCAUGAUCACAUUCAUCCAAUUCGUAUUUACAACAAUGUGAUUUUACUUGACCAGAGCAAACACAUAAAUUGAUUUGCUCCCACUAUAUCAAGUUAAGUUUAGUUCCAGCAAAUAGCACUAAACUUCUCAUUACUUAAACAAAUUAAGUAACAUAAAUAAUUACCAAUUGCUUCAAUAAAACCAUAAUCUGGUUUUCAAGCAUCCAUAUGAAUUAUAAUGGCUGGCUUAAAUACUCUUAGCCUUAUGCUUAUAUUCGAACAUACGAUUCUCCCACUUAAGCAUAAGGAGAAUAUACUGCACAGUCAAUAAAGAAAUCGGAGAUAUGAACCAAUUGGUUCCCGAUUCCUUACCUAUUGCAUAAUCUCAGUUUAGUUAUAUACACCUAAACCAUUAUACAAAACAGUCUAUGUAUCAAAAGAUAGUCACAAUCCAUUCGGAAAAACUUAUCUCACAUAAACUCAAAAUCACUAGUUUCAACAAUGAUCAAAAUCAGAAUAGCAAGCACAAUAUUUUUGCAUUCAAUUUGAUCUUAACUAGUUCAAUAUCCAUCGAGCAAGAUCAACCAAAAUUUGAUAAUGUUUGGAUAUAUAUGACAACAAUAUAUCUUGAUUAAAACGAGAUAAUCAAGACUACUAUUUCUUCUGGAGAACUCGAAGUUCAUCUUUCUCCUUAUUUGUGAUUUCAACCAAAAUAUAAUAGCGGAAGCAUGCAUCAUGAAAUCACAAAUAUACAUAUACAAUAAGCAUGCAUCGAUAUAUAUACAUGAUAAGAUUAGUCGACAAUAAUCCAGAUUAAAAAUCUUCAUGCCUUUAAUUCAUUGUCAACACCAUCAUCAAUUAUAUACAGAUUCGUAAGCAAGUCCUUGGAGAAAUAAUGAUAACUGCAUAUCAUUAGUCUUAUGAAUUUCCAAUAAGAUGACAAAUAAUUAUUUGUUUUCCGAUUCAUAAUAGAAUAUAUAUUUUGUAAAUGGCUAAAAGUUUAUUGUCACAAGACUCAUUAUAGGCGGUCAAUAAAACAUCUACCUUAUAUAUUCAUUUGUUCAUAUAUUUUCUUGUAUGCUUGCAUCAAUAUUCAGAGAAACUUAUGCAAGUUCUAUUUGAUAUAGAUAAAGCCGCAUGCCCAUAAUUACAACAUCUAUGCAUGAAUGCUAUCUAGAUAUGAAUACAAAUUUAAUUCAUAUAUGCGAUUUAUGUAUAAGUCACAAAGCAAUUGGCAUCCAUUUUAUAUAUGCAUUCCAUGUUGUUGCUUUAUAUUGCUUGCCGACUUGCACAUGAUAUGCAGUCAAAUCCAUUCCAACCCAAACUUGAUAUAAAUCAAACCAAUUGAAAAUCAGGAAUUGACAAUAAGAUGUGCACUUGUGCUGCUCCCCGCAAUUAAAUGUAUUGAGAUUCAUACAUGAAACAAUGCAUAUACACAGACUCUUUAAUGAAAAAUGGAAAAGUAUAUCUAGACAAAUUUGUUUAUGCAGCAAAGUAUGAUUCCAGACAUCUCACAUAAAUCACAAGUUGGCAUCUAUAGGGAUUUCGAGUUUAAUCAUGCCUUUACAAUUUAUAUAAAUAAACAAGCAUACUCGAAAUAGCAAAAGACCUAAUCAUUAUGCUCCAACUCAUCACACUAUAAUCAUGCAUAUAGGAGAACAAUUAAUCACGCAUGAAACAGUGAAGUGAGUUACAUGAAUGCAUCAUUGGACUCGUAUUCGUCAACCAAUUGCAAUUCCUCGACUCCAAAUUAACGAAAUUACUUAUCCAUCAGUGCUCGAGAAUCGUCCAUGCGGAUUGUCAUCACUCCAAAUUCCCAUGCGGAUUGCCAUCAUAAUCAACACAGCGGAAACAAGAAUUUUGAAAAUCAGAAUUACGAUGUUUAUGAGAGAUGUAUACUGAUAAAUUACUAUACUUAUCACCAAAUAAGCAAACAUGAAAAAGUUCUCUCAACCCCAGAUUGAGAAACACGGUUUCAGAAUAAGUAACUAAUCUUGACACCAAUUCCAUUUAACUCAAUCUAAAUGUUAAACAAAAUUCAAGAAAUUGCAAUAAGAUUUCAAAAUACAUACCCUUUUAUGAAUGGUUUCAGGAUCGUAUCAAUCUUAGCAUCAAUCAUGUAUAAAGAUUGCAGUAUUGUAUAUAUUACAUCAGGAGUUUUGUAUGUAUCAAGGAUCAAAAUUCGAUAAACUUGAUAUAAUACAUCAGGAGUUUUGAAUUAUAAACAUACCUUUGGGAACAAAAGAAAAAUAUAUAUUAUCGCAAAUCCAAAUCUUAAACAAAGAUGGUUGUGAACGAGAAGAUCUAGAAGCAAAGCAUGUUUGGAUCAUCACAACUUCAAACCAAGAAGAGAAAAAAGGUGCAAACCCAGAAAAUUUCGUACAAGGUUAUGAGUUUUGCCAAUAUUCAAUUUAAACAAGGUUAUACGUUUUCUAGGUUUGGAACGUUUAAGUGUUCAUAGCUUUUCCAUCAGAUUCUUGUGUAAAUUUCGAACUCAAUGACAAUAAUCAACUAGGCUCUGAUACCACAUGUAAGAACUUUAACACAGAUCGAUGAUAUGCCAAUUGAAUUACCAAUGUUCUGAAACAAGUCAAGUGACAAAACUUAUGAACAAGAACAAGGAUUGCCGAGAACAUACCUGCAUAAUUUGAACUUGAAGAAACCAUAACAGCCUCUGUGUUCAAAACCUUCUCCUCUUUUACGAUCACAAUAGCUUUUCUAAUCAAUAGGACUUAGAACAACAUAAGCUAAUAUCGCAAGAGCAGUGGUUUGAACCAUAAAUAUAUAGUGCUCCUUCGUCCAUUCCCUAUCAGAAUUGGACUAGGAUUCAAAGACAUACAAACCAUAAAGAUUCAUGAGACUUUAUAAAGUUCCAACACAAAGUUCUUUUCCAAAACCAAUUGGAACUUCUCUCAAGACUGCAUUCCUUAUCAGAUUUAGACUUCUUUAUAAUAUCAAUUAUCCCAAGACUUAUAAGAAUCAUACUCAUACUCUUACAGGGAUGAGAUAAGGAAUGGGACCCUGACAAAGACUGGUAAUAGUAUUAGUAAUUAGUCUUCGGUAGUUCAAAGACGACCGUGGAACCAAGUUUGAAUGCACUCCUCCCCUUUUUUUUAUUCUUGAAUUAAAAAAAUCAAAAAGGAAAAUUAAUAGGUUGAAAUAAAAAUAUAAAAAAAGUACAAAAGAAGGAAACGGUGUGAAGAAAGUCCCUCUACAAUACGUAAUACUUUUGUUACAUUUUUGAAAGUCAAUUGCAUGUUGCCGUGCAUUUUAAUUUUUGAGUAUAGAAUACUUGAUAUAUUGUCAAUUAAUCAUCCGUAUUUUGUCAAUUAGUGUCUGGUACCUAUGGAUCCUUUAAUCUGGACCGUACAACUAACAGUCCUGAUUUGAUUUGCACAUCAAUCAAUGGUCCAAAUUAAAGGAUCUAUAAGCUCCAUAACGAAUCCAAUUCCUAAAAAAUUUGAUCGUAUAAUGAAUAAUGAAUGUACCAAACUCCCACAAAGAAGAUCCGGAGAGAAUCCUCUUCCUAUCAUGUCGAUAUCGUGGAGCAAAAGGUAACAGUCAGCAAACGAAGUUGAUAGGAUAGGGGUACUGUGAUUGAUACAAGUGCAAAGACGACGAGGGAUAAAGUGAUACUUUCGUGCUAGUUCCGAGGACAUUUUGGUAACUAAGCCAUAUUUAGUACUCUUUUUUGGUGUCGUAUCAUUCUCUCUCUCAAAGAUUAAUUAUAAGAGAACUUUAACAAAAAGCUUCAUGUAUUAUUUAUUUUAAUAAAAAAUUAUAUUUUUACACUAAAAAGUUAAUUAUGGUAUUAUUCACUUUAGUUUUUUUUUUAUAGUUAAAACUCAAAGUUUUCAAGUAUUUUUUAUUAAUUUUCCUUAAUUAUGAUUUACAAAUAGUAGCUGAAAUGGGUCUCUUUUUUCUUUAUAUGCAAUUGUAUUUCAUUACUUCUUUUGUCUUUUUCUUCAGCACUGAAAAAAAAAAAAGAAAAUUGCUUUCAUACAUCAUUUCUCAUUUUAUCACACUUUUGUUUUGUUGUAUUUAGAUUGAAAUCACUAGCGACAAAAAUUGUCCGAAUGGAAUCGUUUUAGUUGUUCCCGACUAAUAUAAAAGUCCUAACAAAGACCGACAAGAGCAACGUGGGGCUGGUAAAAAAAAGUUGAGUCAAAAUCGCUACCCAGAAAAUUGUCCGGAAAGAAUCUUUUUAUAGCUGUUCCCAUCUGUCUAGUUUGAUGAAUGGAAGUUCCGAGGAAGGUUGCUUUGCUUUAACUUUAUCACGUUCACAUUGAAGGUGGUAGGAAACUGCUGCUUCACAUUGAAGGCAGAAAAUCAUGCGAAAGGCCUGAUAUAUAACAAGAACGAAUUCUUGGUGCAAGUACCAGUCCAGCAUCCAUACUCAAUUCUUUGAAAGGCCCUUACCUAGAUUUCUCCAAUGAACAAUCAACUUGUCUCUUCUUCUUCCUUCAGCAGUCCUCCUUUGUGGAAGUACGAUGUCUUUUUGAGCUUUAGAGGAGAGGAUACACGAACCAAUUUUACAGAUCAUUUUUACAAGGCGUUGGACGGCAAGGCAAUCACCACGUUCAUUGAUCACCAACUUAAAAGAGGAGAAGGAAUAUCUCAGGCUCUUCUCGAAGCAAUUGAUGAGUCGAGAAUUUCGAUCAUUAUAUUAUCUAAAAACUAUGCAUCUUCAAGAUGGUGCUUGGAAGAGCUCGUACGUAUCCUUGAAUGUAGAAAGUCAAGGAAGCAAAUUGUUUUGCCAGUUUUUUACAAAGUGGAUCCGUCCGAUGUACGAAAGCAAACGAGUAGUUUGGUGACGCGUUUACAGAAAAGUUCAAAUUCGAAGACAACAAGGAGAAGAUCCUCACAUGGAGGAGUGCUCUUACAGACGCAGCAAAUUUAUCAGGAUAUACUUUCAAAGAGGGAGAGUACGUAUAUUUCUUCCCCUUAUACUGCCUUUAAUCUGAAAAGAUGACUUUACCUGAAAUUCAAUUUUCUUUACAUAAAACCCAACCUAGUUUUUGUGCUUGACUAAUUAAGCUUAACAAGUUACAUUUUAUAUCUUUUGGUUUCCUAAAAUACCCCUAAUAACAAUUUGAUUCUCUAGCAUAUUUAUAUCCAUUUAUUGUGUUAAACCUAUUGCAAGUUUAACUGGUCACUAGUACUCAUUGUGUUAAAUUUCGAAUUGGCUGGAUUAAUUACCCGAGUGUACCCAUUUUUUGUUGUUCAAAUUUUAAAUUUAUUAAUAUUUUUUGGUUUCCUAAUUUUGUUUGAAAAAUCAAUUUACCUACGUUUUUGAAAAAUUAACUUACAAAUUACUGAUUUUGAUUAAUAAUGUACCUAUGGUGUUGUUUUAUAAUUUACCGAUUACUAAUGAUGUUAGGUAAAUUAGUACUUUUAGGAAAGAAAUGAUACAUAUCCAUACAAAACAUCUUUUUUCAUCCGAACAACAACAUAACAUUUAAAUGCAAAAAAAAAGGUCCAUGUCUUAUGGAAAGAUGUUAGGAUUUUACAGAGUAAUAAACGGCAAUGUGAAAUUGUGAAUAAUGGAAUAGGGGUAAAUCAUUUUAUUAAUGGGUCAAUUAUUAUCUUACAUGAUUCUGUAUUUAGUUGCAAGCGGCACAUGCUUGACUGUAUCAGUGAUUAUCCAUACCUCUGUUUUUUUUCAAUCUUUUUUAUCUUUUCAUUCUCUUCUUCUUUUUACCUUUUUUUCUUUUUUCAAAGAAAUAUAGCAUAAAAAGUUGAUUGACUAAAUGUGUCAAUUUUUUUAUAUAAACUGGUAGGUAUGAAGCUACAUUUAUCAGUAAGAUCGUGGAGGAGAUCUUCGUCCCCGUACAACAAUGCACGCAUUUGAAGGUAGCCAAUUACCCAGUUGGAAUGGAGUCUUGUGUAGAAAAGGUGAAAGAGCUUUUAGGUGUCAGGGGAAAUGAUCCGUGUGUGGUUGGGAUUUGGGGGUCAUUUGGAAUCGGCAAGACAACAGUUGCAAAAGCUGUUUAUAAUGCAAUUGCUUAUGAGUUUGAAGGUAGUUGUUUCCUGGCAGAUGUUCGAGAAACGUCAAUACAAUACAGAGGCCUACUCCAACUACAAAACACUCUUCUGAGUGAGAUUGGUGGUUCAGAGUGGAAAGCUGUCAAUCUUCAUAGAGGAAACAUCCUUAUAAAGAAACUGUUGAGGGGAAAGAAGAUUCUCUUAAUUCUUGAUGAUGUGGAUGAUUUUGAGCAGUUAGACAACUUGGUUGAAGUCCAUCAGUUAGGUGAGGGUAGCAGAGUGAUCAUAACCACAAAAAAUAAAGGAUUGCUGGAAUCUUGUAAAGUUGAGCUGAUAUACAAGGUCCAAAAGUUAGAAGACAACAAAGCUAUUGAGCUUUUUAGUUGGAAUGCCUUCGGAAAAGAAAAACCUCCAGAUGAUUAUUUGGGACUCGCACGACGUGCAAUAGCCUAUGCUCAAGGCCUCCCGUUAGCUCUUAAUCUUAUAGGUUCUCAUCUGCGUGGUAAAAAUAUAGUUCGUUGGCAAGAUAUUUUGGAUAGUUACGAUGAAGAACCUCAUAGAGGGAUUCAAAGAGUACUUCGGAAAAGUUAUGAUACCUUGGAAUAUGUCCAACAACAACUUUUCCUAGACAUUGCAUGCUUCUUCAAGGGUGAAGAUAAAGACAAAGUGUUACAGAUAUUAAAAGGAUCAAAUCUCAAAGUACGUCAACAUUGUAUUGAUGUUCUCGUUGAGAAUGCCAUUAUAACUAUUGAACAUAAUAGGAUUUUGAUGCAUGACUUGCUAGAACAAAUGGGUAAGCAUAUAGUUUGGGAAGAAUCGCCCACUGAACCAGACAAGCGGAGCAGAUUGUGGCUUCCUAAAGAUGUGUACCGUGUUCUAACUGAAAACAGAGUAAGUAGAAUAUAUGUUCUUGCAUUUGAUUUAAUUGGCAUGAUUUUGGAAACACAAAAAAAAUUAAAAUCCUUUUGAUUUCUUUGUUAUAUGAUUUGUUUGUUAACACUAUUUAUUUUUCCAUCUUAGGGAACAAAGAAAAUUAAAGGCAUUGUGGUGAAGUUGCCCGUGCCAGAUGUGAUACCCUUGAAUACAAAAAGCUUUUCCAAGAUGGUAAAUCUUGAAUUUUUUAUAAUUCGUAAUGCACACUUUUCUGAAUGCGUUGAGGAUUUACCCGACGAUUUGAGGUGGAUUGAAUUCGGUGGGCUUCAUUACUGGGGAUCCAAUAUUCUUCAAAAGCAUAUACUUACAUUCAAUUUGCAAUCCAAUUGUCAUAUCAGAAAUCUUGUCACGUUUAUUAUGCCAAACAGUGACAUCAAACAAUUGAAGGUGUUUCAGGUAUGUAUACUUAUUAUAAAUGAAUUUGGACAAUUACUAAUUUAAUUGUAUAUUUUAUUUUUGGAAAAAGAAAUUUGCCAAAGCUUUUCAUUGUUAAUUAUUCUAUUUAAAGUUUGUGAUUUUUUUUUCUUUUGAUUUUGAUUUCACAGAUUUGGCAAUGCUUACAUCUUUGAAUUUAAGUGGUUCCCAAUUCUUAGAAAAAAUUCCCAACUUAUCCGGAAGUCCAAACCUAAAGAAGUUGAUUCUAAAUGAGUGUAACCGUUUAGUUGAAGUUGAUGAUUCUGUUGGAUUCCUUGAUAAACUUAAUAGAUUAAGUCUUAAUGGGUGCUCUAGGCUUGAGAGAUUUGCGACGAGACUUAGAUUGAGAUCCCUUCGUAGACUUACUCUUUAUGGUUGUACAAGGCUCAAGAGUUUCCCAGAAAUAGAGGCCGAGAUGGAAUCUCUAUAUGAUUUGGACAUAUCAAAAAGUGGCAUAAGAGAAUUGCCUUCAUCAAUUGCAUAUCUUACCGGGCUUAAAUUUUUGUCGGCAAGUUAUUGUGAGAACCUUACAGGUACAUCCUUACAUCACAGUUAUGGGUUGCAACAUCUCUACCGUAUUGAAAUGAUUAGAUGCCCAAAACUGGUGACAUUUGGGAAGUUUUCAACUCGCUUAGACACUUCACAUUACAACGGUAUCCCAUUAGCCAUUUUCAACGCAUGCAAGCUUUAUCUUGUUGAAUGCAAUUUAUCAGAAAGUGAUUUCCUUGUGCCUCUUCAAUAUGAACCAUCCAGUCUUCAUUGCUGGUCCACAUUAAUAGAACUUGGUCUGUCGGGAAACAAUUUUGUUAGUCUUCCGGAAUGCAUUAGCAAAUUUGUCAACUUGGAAAUACUUUGGUUGACUGGUUGCAAGAGGCUUCGGGAAAUUCCACAUGCCCUUCCACCAAAUCUAAGGGAAUUAUAUCUGAAUGAUUGCACAUCAUUGGAGAAAAUUCCAAAGUUGCCCUCGGGGCUUAGGUGUCUGCAGUUGACUAAUUGCUUUGGACUAAGUGGCGAUGAGGUGGCAAAGUUGGAAAAUAAUUUGUUGAACUGGAAUCAGGUUCGUCUCUCCUCUCUUAAUUUCUCUUGAAAUUAAAAUAUUUAAUUUGUUGAUACUUGGGAGGGAGAACAGAUCAUGAUUGUUUGUAGUUAUUUACGUAUUAUUCACUAUUGCAGGAAUUUCUUCGGUGCUCUCAAUUGCAAGUUACGUAUCCAGGCGAUGAAAUUCCAAAGCGGUUUAGCUAUACCUCUAAACAUCUAACAGCCACUAGGAUUGAAAGUGUAGGAAAAGGUACAAGGCAACAUGAUUAUGUUGGAGGUGGUGAAUUUAGUUUUGAAAUUUCUCUAAAUUUACAGGAGAGGGAGACGUUAUUAGGAUUGGCUCUAUCUUGUGUUUUUCCACCACAAUUGACUGGAGGGAUUUGUUAUUACUACAAUCUUCGUCUUUACAUCAACGAAGCAAGUGAUUAUCAACAAUUUAGGUGGAUAGUGGAAGGCAAGGAGGCUCAUGUGGGGCUAGUGUUAGUGGAUUUAGAGAACCAGGGAGAAAGCCCAUGUGGGGCUCAUGUUAGUGGAGAUAUUUGUAAAGUUAAAGUUCAAUAUCCCAACUACUCGAGCAUUAAAAGCUGCGGGGUGCAGCCCCUAUUGCGCAAAGGAGAUGAACGGCUUCCCUCGUCUUUGGAACCAACGAGUAGCCUUGGAUCCUCAGAUAUCGUCAAUGAUGAAUAUGAUCGGCAACAACAAUGGCCUUCCUUAUCUUUGAACCCAGCGGAUGAUCAUCCGACACACACACAGAUUGAUCACAAUGUUCCUUCUGAUAUUGAGGAGGAGCAAGAGCAACCGUCCACCAUUUCUGAUUUACUAGGAGUUUGGGUACGUACAUUUCAGUUUUAGCCAUUUUUUUAUUAUUCUUUAUUGUGAUAUCUUUUUUAAAUUAAUAUAAUAAUAAUUAAUUAAUUUAAAUUAAAUAAAGGAAAAAAUUUGAACAGUUUGCAAUCUGCAUAAUCAAAGAUUUCAUAUCUUUAGAAACAAAGAUUUCAUAUCUGCAGGUGGUUAGGCCAUCUCCAACCGAUAGCUGGUCAGAGGGUUCGUUUUAACCAUCUGGCCCUCCAAGAUUCUUCAAGAUAUUAAUAUUUUAAUGAACAGUACAUGACCAUAUUUGCCUCCGUCUCCAACCGAGGGUCAUAGGGCCAAACAUAAUUUAUUAUUUAAAAACUACAACUUAAAUUCAAAUCCAACGGCUAAGUGACAAAUUUAAUUUAAUGUUGUUUCAUGUUACUUAAUUUAAUUUAAUGUUGUAUAAUGGCUUAGGAAGUUAUAGGAAAAAAAUAGAAUUUAAAAAAAAUAUGAAACAAAUUUUGUGAAAUAGAAGUUAUAGAAAAAAAUGGAGUUUAAAAAAAAAUAUGAAACAAGUUUUGUGAAAUAAAAGUUAUAGGAAAAAAAAUAGAAUUUAAAAAAAAUAUGAAACAAAUUUUGUGAAAUAGAAGUUACAGGAAAAAAAUGGAAUUUAAAAAAAAUAUGAAAUAAAUUUUGUGAAAUAGAAGUUAAAGGAAAAAAUUGAAGUUGUAUGAAAUUUUUUGUGAAAUAGAAGUUAUAGGAAAAAAUAGAAGUUAUAGAAAGUUAUAGGAAAAAAUAGAAGUUAUAUGAAAAUUUUUGUAAAUAAAAAAUAAUAAUAAAAAUGUAAAAAAAAAUAUAUAUCAAAUGAAACCCAACGGCUAGCUGAGUCAGCUAGCCGUUAUAUUAAAAAAAAUUCCAAACUAUUAGUGUCGGUUAUAAUUGACACUAAUAGUAAAUAAAUAAAAAAAUUUGCCUAUGAAUACCUAUUACUGUCGGUUAUAACCCACAGUAUUAAAAAAUUCUUCUUUAAUGUUGUCGGUUAUAUCUGACAGCAAUAGGGAAACUAUAAAAAAAAAAAUAGCCAGCCCGGGGCUGGCUGGCCGAAAGCAGCCAGCCCUUUGGCCCUUUGAAAUUCCGUGGGGCCCUCCCAGAUUCCAGAGCCCUCGGUUGGAGACGGUUUUAGGGCUAUUUUCGGCCCUCUGGCCCUCUGGACCCUUCGGUUGGAGAUGGCCUUAGUUCUUAGAAAAACAGAAACCACAUUUGUGUCUUGAUGUACCUUUUACUGAUAAAAUCAAAUUCUAAUUAAUCAAAACAAACAAUUAUGGAAGGAAAAUAUACAAGGGGAAAUGAGAUUAUAAGUACAAAAUUCAAGAUUAAUUACCUAAAAACUUGGUUUUGUUCGUAUAAGUACAAAAUUUCUACACGAAGAUCAAAGAACUACAUCGUUUGGAUGAACAUGUAAACCACAUGCUUCUCUCUCUGUUAAUUAAGUUUACACGCAGAGAUGGAAGUCUUGUAGGACUACUGUUUAAUCAAGAGUCCCAGGUUUGCAACUAUUUUUUUAUUAGCAUUUACUUCUGCUUUUUUAAUUAAUGAAUAGGUGGAAAUUUGAUUCGGUGUUGAUUAUAAGAUUUAGUAGAAUUUUAAUAUCAAGAGGAGAUAACAAUGUAGAAAACAUAGCCCCUUGAAUCAACUUGAUUGAUCUCGACCCUCAUGAUCUCACGGGUCUCGGCCUGCUUCGGUUGUUUAAAUUUCUGGUGUAAGCCAAGAAAGUGAACUCAUUAAUGUUGCUGCUCUAGUUAGUCAGCCUGCUUUUUCUGACAAGCCUGCGGUCUCUUUAUGUUCCACCAUGGGAAGCUGGGAGUGAAGCGUGCAUUAGUUGUUGGAAUUGGACUUCAAAUUCUUCAACAGGUUUGGUAGAAAAAGUUAAAAGGAAAAUUUUAUUUAAAACCAUGUAACUUUUUUUCUACACUCCUCAGGUGUAUGAGCAGGCCCGCGUCGCCAUUCUUCUAUCUAACAUAGGGUUGAAUCCAACAUUUGCAUCUCUCUUCGUAAGUGCCAUUACAAUUGUCUUAAUGGAUAUAGCUGGCAGAAGAUAAUUUCGAACACCUUCGGUUUCCUAGAACCGAUUACUAACUUUUAAUCAAAAUUAUAACUAGGGUAAAUUAUCCAAACGAUAAAAUAAAGUUUAGUGUCACUCCAUUUCCAUUUUAGACUAAAAGUUUGUAACCGGUUCUAUCUAUAUGCAUAUUUGCAAAAAAUAAGCUUUCCUUUUUGCCUUUCUUGGUAUGCCGGUCGCUGCUGCUCUCCACAUUACAUUGUCCCUCACUCUUCUUGUAGUUGCCAACAUUGUCAACUUGGGAACUGUUCUGAAUGCAACAAUUUCCACCGCCGUGCCUGCUGCUUCGUCAUGGCAUUUGGAGUAACCCCGAACAUUCUCUGCGCUGAGAUCAUCCCUACGAGCAUCCACGACCUCUGCAUUGCCAUCUGAGCCCUCACAUUCUGGAUUGGAGACAUCAUCAUCACUUACGCAUUUCCUGUCAUGCUCUUCUCCGUUGGAUUUGCUGGCAUCUUGGGAAUCUAUGUUGUCCGGUGCAUUGUUCCUGGAUAUUUGUUUACUUGAAGGUGCCUGAAACUAAAGACAUGCCUCUUGAAGUUAGCUGCUGCUGAUGCAUCUGUUGGAUUCCAAUGAUAACUGAUUUGAUUGUUCAGAGGAUUUGAAAGUUUGGUUUGGCUUUAGACUGGGAUUACGAGGACAGGAUUUGAGUUGGAAAAAGUGCUGAUGACUGGAUUGCAUUUUUAGAAAGUGAUUUUGUAAUCAUCACUAUCCCUCACUUAAUUCUGCACCAGUAUCUUUGGUACCAAAAAAUCAAUUCUCUUGGGUCAUAAGCUCAUAAGUGACAUGUUUUGUUCGACUAUUUGCCUCACUUAAUAUUAAUUUGACCUGCCUACUUUAACUAUUUAUUUAUACAAAUAUUUGUACUAUCUUUCUAAUAGAGAUAAGACGUAUAUAUAUUUGCGAGCCGUACUUCUAUUAGAAAAAUUAUAUGUAAAUAGAUGAUAAAUGUAGCAUUACUAUUUUUAUAAUAUGUUUUAAAAUUUUGAAAAAAAAAAAAAAGGAACUGUUUUUAACUGCAGGCCUAAAGCAGAGCCCUGUUGCCGCCUAGCAAUAGAAAAGUCUUCACCAAAUUGAGUUAGAAGAAUUAGGGUUUUAGAGCUCCAAAGAUCCAAACUUUAUCAGUCUCUCCGAAAGUAAUUAGAGAAAUGGAAACCCAAUCAAAGGACGGAGACUCUCUGGAGAAGCGGCCCGGCAUCUUCUUCCUCGGCUCCCCCGGCGUCGUCGAACGCUCUCUCAUUUCCCGUAUGCUCUCUAUCUUUCUCUCUCCUUUGGUCGAUGCUAAAUUCAUGACCUCUUGAUUUCUAGGCUUACUGGAUUUGAAUUUUUGACGAUGCUUCUGAUUAUUCAUCGUCAUCUCAGCUGGUAGUUGAUGGGUAUGUAAAAUUUGAAUUUUGGGAUCAAAGAAUUCAACUCUUAGAAAUUUUGGGAACAAACAAUUCGUUUUGAAUUCUUUUGAAAUGUGUAUUUUGAUGAUUUUUGUUGUAAAGAAAUAGAUGGAAUAUCUCUACAAAUUACUACACAGCUGGUGUUUUGGUAUGGAUGGCUCAUCUCCAUGACGAAUUUUUUGCAGAGGCCCUCCCAAUGUAUGAGCAGUUGGCUGCCUUGAUCUUGGUUUUCGACACAACUGAGGUUUUGGUCUCUUGCCACUCACUCUUUGUCACUUUGUUUACUUGUUUAUCAUGAUUUUCAAUGUGUCUUAUAUCAAUUUGCUCUCAUUAUGCUGCAGUUGUCGUCUCUGUCUGCGCUUAAGAAAUGGGUAUCUCAAACUGAUCUUCAAAAGUUCGAUAUACUAGUAUGCGUAGGGAAUAAGGUUGAUCGUGUUCCGGGUCACCCGGUUCAUGCCGAAUAUAGAAGACGACUGCAGAAGCUUGGAGACCCGUUUGCUGAUGCCGGUCCAGGGUUCACUGCGUAGGGAAUCUCCGAGACUGAAGGAAGCAGGUUUAUUGGGGGAUGACGAACCAUUUUGGGAGGCAAGGCACACAUGUUUGGAAUGGUGCACUGAGCAUAACAUUGAGUUCGUCGAAGGUUGUGCUUCAAAUGCUGAUUUUGACAGAUGUAAGGUAGCCCUUCUUUCUGACUUGUAGUUUAUGGCAAGUUUUAUACGAACGUGAAAAAUAAAAAGUAUGCUGCUCGAGGGUAGAAACGUCGUGCAAUUAGGAUGAUUGAAGAUAGAUCGAAGGUAGCCCUUCUUUUUGGCUGUUCCGAUCACAUCCUUCUUGGGUAAACUAAAAGAGAAUUGACGGUAGAAAUGAAUGCACUUUGGUAUGUGUUGAAUCUUUAUCGAUCCCUCUUUUUUUAAUGUUUAACAAUUGAACUCAUUAAUAUUAAAAUAGAUAAAAAUGAUAAAAAGAGUACGAACAAAAAAAAUCUUAAAUGCUUUUGUUGCAGUCUUUCAAGUUAAUUGUGUAUUUUCAUGCAUUUUAACCUUUGUAUGUACAUAAUUGAUUUGUCAUACGGUCAUAGUAGCUUGACAUCGUUUAUGUGUCAUGGGGUGAAAAGAACAUGUGCUUCAAUAACAAACAAAAAAAAAAUGAAAAUUGUUUGAAAUUUUUGAGUUUUCAUGAUAAGGACAAAAUAAAGGAUAAAGUGAAUAGUAUCAAGAUUGACUUUUUAGUAUAAAUUAUUUUCUCAUUUGUGAUAGAAAAAAUCACCUUAAAUGACUCACCUUUCUUCAUGUAUGUGACAUUAUUUAUAUGGUUCAAAAUGACACAAACCGGAUAUAAAUAAUGUGGGGGUGUGGUUAAGGAAAAAAUGCAUUAUUACUUUGGUAACUUAGAAACCACCUAUUGUUGGUGAAACCAGAAUUUUCCUAACAUUUACUCACUGAUGUUAUCGUUUUGUAAAAAAAUAAAGAUAAACUCUGCACCUCCAUCCUUUUUUCAACGCACUGCAUAUUCCUCUGCUUUUCUCUUGUUUUUAUUUUUUUAUUUUUUUUCUCGUUACGAAAAUGAAAAUUAUCCAAAAAGAAUGGUAUUAGCUAUUCCCCAUCCUAAAUGGAAGCGUGAAGGGAUGAGAUAGGGAAUGGGACCCUGACAAAGACUGAUAAUAGUAUUAGUAAUUAGUCUUCGGUAGUUCAAAGACGACCGUGGAACCAAGUUUGAAUGCACACCUCCCUUUUUUUUUUAUUCUUGAAUUAAAAAAAUCAAAAAGGAAAAUUAAUAGGUUGAAAUAAAAAUAAAAAUUAAGUACAAAAGAAGGAAACGGUGUGAAGAAAGUCACUCUACAAUACGUAAUACUUUUGUUACAUUUUUGAAAGUCAAUUGCAUGUUGCCGUGCAUUUUAAUUUUUGAGUAUAGAAUACUUGAUAUAUUGUCAAUUAAUCAUCUGUAUUUUGUCAAUUAGUGUUUGGAGCCUAUGGAUCCUUUAAUUUGAGACGUACAAAUUGAAUUCAACCGUCUUCAUUAAUUCAUUUUCCUGACCCAUCGCACACAACUAACGGUCUUGAUUUGAUUUGCACAUCAAUCAACGGUCCAAAUUAAAGGAUCUAUAGGCUCCAGACAUUAACAUCCAAAACGGAUCCAAUUCCUAAAAAAAUUGAUCGCGUACCAAACUCCCACAAAGAGGAUCCGGAUCCUCUUCCUAUCAUGUUGAUAUCGUGGAGCAAAAGGUAAUAGUCAGCAAACGAAGUUGAUAGGAUAGGGGUACUGUGAUUGAUACAAGUGAAGACGACGAGGGAUAAAGUGAUACUUUCGUGCUAGUUCCGAGGACAUUUUGGUAACUAAGCCUUUAUAUUUACUACUCGAUUUGAUUUAUAAUUAAUACUCUUUUUGGGUGUCGUAUCGUUCUCUCUCUCAAACACUAAUUACAAUUUGCAGCUCGUAGCUGAAAUGGGGUCCCUUUUUUCUUUAUAUGCAAUUGUAUUUCAUUACUUCUCUUGUAUUUUUCCUCAGCACUGAAAAAAAAAAGGGAAAAUUGUUUUCAUACAAAAAUUGUCCGAAAGGAAUCGUUUUAGCUGUUCCCAUCUGUCUAAUAUAAAAGUCCUAACAAAGACUGACAAUAGUAACCUGGGGCUGGUAAAAAAAAGUUGUGUCAAAAUCGCUACCCAGAAAAUUGUCCGGAAGGAAUCUUUUUAUCACGUUCACAUUGAAGGUGGUAGGAAACUGCUGCUUCCUACAUGGGCAGAAAAUCAUGCGAAAGGCCUGAUAUAUACGACAAGAGCGAAUUCUUGGUGCGAGUACCAGUCCAGCAUCCAUACUCAAUUCUUUGAAAGGCUCUUCCAUUUACCUGGAUUUCUCCAAUGAACAAUCAACUUGUCUCUUCUUCUUCCUUCAGCAGUCCUCCUUCGUGGGAGUACGAUGUCUUUUUGAGCUUUAGAGGAGAGGAUACACGAACCAAUUUUACAGAUCACUUUUACAAGGCGUUGGACGACAAGGCAAUCACCACGUUCAUUGAUCACCAGCUUAAAAGAGGAGAAGAAAUAUUUCCGGCUCUUCUCGAAGCAAUUGAAGAGUCGAGAAUUUCGAUCAUUGUAUUCUCUGAAAACUAUGCAUCGUCAAGAUGGUGCUUGGAUGAGCUUGUACAUAUCCUUGAAUGUAGAAAGUCAAGGAAGCAAAUUGUUUUGCCAGUUUUUUACAAAGUGGAUCCGUCCGAUGUACGAAAGCAAACGAGUAGUUUUGGUGACGCGUUUACAGAAAAGUUCAAAUUUGAAGACAACAAGGAGAAGAUCCUCACAUGGAGGAGUGCUCUUACAGAUGCAGCAAGUUUGUCAGGAUAUACUUUCAAAGAGGGAGAGUACGUAUAUUUCUUUCCCUUAUACUGCCUUUAAUCUGAAAAGAUGAUUUCAUCUGAAAUUCAAUUUUCUUUACGUAAAACCCAACCUAGUUUUUGUGCUUGACUAAUUAAGCUUAACAAGUUAGAUUUUAUAUCUUUCGGUUUCCUAAAAUACCCCUAAUAACAAUUUGAUUCUCUUGCAUAUUUAUAUCCAUUUAUUGUGUUAAACCUAUUGCAAGUUAAAUGGUCAUUAUUAAUUGUGUUAAAUUUCGAAUUGGCUGGAUUAAUUACCCGAGUGUACCCAUUUUUUGUUGUUCAAAUUUUAAAUUUAUUAAUAUUUUUUGGUUUCCUAAUUUUGUUUGAAAAAUCAAUUUACCUACGUUUUUGAAAAAUUAAUUUACAUAUUACUUAUUUUGAUUAAUAAUGUACCUGUGGUGUUGUUUAUAAUUUACCGAUUACUAAUGAUGUUAGGUAAAUUAGUACUUUUAUGAAAGAAAUGAUACAUAUCCAUCCAAAACAUCUUUUUUCAUCCGAACAACAACAUAACAUUUAAAUGCAAAAAAAAGGUCCAUGUCUUAUUAUUAUUAUUUUAACAAAAGGAAAUAAAAAACAGUCAAUGUCCUAAGUAUGGAAAGAUGUUAGGAUUUUACAGAGUAAUAAACGGCAAUGUGAAAUUGUGAAUAAUGAAAUAGGGGUAAAUCAUUUUUAUUAAUGGGUCAAUUAUUAUCUUACAUGAUUCUGUAUUUAGUUGCAAGCGGCUCAUGCUUGACUGCAUCAGUGAUUAUCCAUACCUCUGUUUUUUUUCAAUCUUUUUUAUCUAUUCAUUCUCUUCUUCUUUUUACCUUUUUUUCUUUUUUCAAAGAAAUAUAGCAGAAAAAGUUGAUUAGCUAAAUGUGUCAAUUUUGUUAUAUAAACUGGUAGGUAUGAAGCUACAUUUAUCAGUAAGAUCGUGGAGGAGAUCUUCGUCCCCGUACAACAAUGCACGCAUUUGAAGGUAGCCAAUUACCCAGUUGGAAUGGAGUCUUGUGUAGAAAAGGUGAAAGAGCUUUUAGGUGUCAGUGGAAAUGAUCCGUGUGUGGUUGGGAUUUGGGGGUCAUCUGGAAUCGGCAAGACAACAGUUGCAAAAGCUGUUUAUAAUGCAAUUGCUUAUGAGUUUGAAGGUAGUUGUUUCCUGGCAGAUGUUCGAGAAACGUCAAUACAAUACGGAGGCCUACUCCAACUACAAAACACUCUUCUGAGUGAGAUUGGUGGUUCAGAGUGGAAAGCUGUCAAUCUUCAUAGAGGAAACAUUCUUAUAAAGAAACUGUUGAGGGGAAAGAAGAUUCUCUUAAUUCUUGAUGAUGUGGAUGAUUUUGAGCAGUUAGACAACUUGGUUGAAGUCCAUCAGUUAGGUGAGGGUAGCAGAGUGAUCAUAACCACAAAAAAUAAAGGAUUGCUAGAAUCUUGUAAAGUUGAGCUGAUAUACAAGGUCCAAAAGUUAGAAGACAACAAAGCUAUUGAGCUUUUUAGUUGGAAUGCCUUCGGAAAAGAAAAACCUCCAGAUGUUUAUUUGGGACUCGCACGACGUGCAAUAGCCUAUGCUCAAGGCCUCCCGUUAGCUCUUAAUCUUAUAGGUUCUCAUUUGCGUGGUAAAAAUAUAGUUCGUUGGCAAGAUAUUUUGGAUAGUUACAAUGAAGAACCUCAUAGAGGGAUUCAAAGAGUACUUCGGAAAAGUUAUGAUACCUUGGAAUAUGUCCAACAACAACUUUUCCUAGACAUUGCAUGCUUCUUCAAGGGUGAAGUUAAAGACAAAGUGUUACAGAUAUUAAAAGGAUCAAACCUCAAAGUACGUCAACAUUGUAUUGAUGUUCUCGUUGAGAAUGCCAUUAUAACUAUUGAAGAUAAUAGGAUUUUGAUGCAUGACUUGCUAGAACAAAUGGGUAAGCAUAUAGUUUGGGAAGAAUCGCCCACUGAACCAGGCGAGCGGAGCAGAUUGUGGCUUCCUAAAGAUGUGUACCGUGUUCUAACUAAAAACAGAGUAAGUAGAAUAUAUGUUCUUGCAUUUGAUUUAAUUGGCAUGAUUUUGGAAACACAAAAAAAAUUAAAAUCCUUUUGAUUUCUUUGUUAUAUGAUUUGUUUGUUAACACUAUUUAUUUUUCCAUCUUAGGGAACAAAGAAAAUUAAAGGCAUUGUGGUGAAGUUGCCCGUGCCAGAUGUGAUACCCUUGAAUACAAAAAGCUUUUCCAAGAUGGUAAAUCUUGAAAUUUUUAUAAUUCGUAAUGCACACUUUUCUGGAUGCGUUGAGUAUUUACCCGACGAUUUGAGGUGGAUUGAAUUCGGUGGGCUUCAUUACUGGAGAUCCAAUAUUCUUCAAAAGCAUAUACUUACAUUCAAUUUGCAAUCCAAUUGUCAUCUAAGGAAUUUUGUCACGUUUAUUAUGCCAAACAGUGACAUCAGACAAUUGAAGGUAUUUCAGGUAUGUAUAUGUAUUAUAAAUUAAUUUGGACAAUUACUAAUUUAAUUGUAUAUCUUAUUUUUGGAAAACGAAAUUUGCCAAAGCUUUUCAUCAUUAAUUAUUCUAUUUAAAGUUUGUGAUUUUUGUUUCAUUUGAUUUUGAUUUCACAGAAUUUGGCAAACCUUACAUCUUUGAAUUUAAGUGGUUCCGAAUUCUUAGAAAAAAUUCCCAACUUAUCCGGAAGUCCAAACCUAAGGGAGUUGAUUCUAGAUGAGUGUAAACGUUUAGUUGAAGUUGAUGAUUCUGUUGGAUUCCUUGAUAAACUUGUUACAUUAAGUCUUGUUGGGUGCUCUAGGCUUGAGAGAUUUGCGAGGAGACUUAGAUUGAGAUCCCUUCAAAGACUUUAUUUUGGUGGUUGUACAAGGCUCAAGAGUUUCCCAGAAAUAGAGGUCGAGAUGGAAUCCCUACGGGUUUUGAACAUAACAAAAAGUGGCAUAAGAGAAUUGCCUUCAUCAAUUGCAUAUCUUACUGGGCUUAAGCACUUGUGGGCAAUGGGUUGUGAGAACCUUACAGGUACAUCAUUACAUCACAUUUAUGGGUUGCAACGUCUCCAUUAUAUUGAAAUGAGUCGAUGCCCAAAACUGGUGACAUUUGGGAAGUUUUCAACUUGCUUAGAUACUUCACAUGACAACGGUAUCCCAUUAGCCCUUCCCAACGUAGGCUAUCUUUUUCUUAAUGGAUGCAAUUUAUCAGAAAGUGAUUUCCACGUGCCUUUUCAUUGCUUGUCCAAAUCAAUAAGAGUUUAUAUGGGGGGAAACAAUUUUGUUAGUCUACCUGAAUGCAUUAGCAAAUUUGUUAACUUGGAAGCACUUUGUUUGACUGGUUGCAAGAGGCUUCGGGAAAUUCCACAUGCCCUUCCACCAAAUCUAAGAGAUUUAUAUCUGGAUUAUUGCACAUCAUUGGAGAAAAUUCCAAAGUUGCCCUCGAGGCUUAGGUGUCUGGAGUUGACUAAUUGCUUUAGAAUAAGUGGUGAUGAGGUGGCAAAGUUGGAAAAUAAUUUGUUGAACUUGAAUCAGGUUCGUCUCUCCCCUCUUAAUUUCUCUUGAAAUUAAAAUAUAUAAUUUGUUGAUACUUGGGAGGGAGAACAGAUCACGAUUGUUUGUAAUUAGUUAUUUACAUAUUAUUCACUAUUGCAGGAAUCUCAUCGGUGCUCUCAAUUGCAAGUUACAUAUCCAGGCGAUGAAAUUCCAAAACGGUUCAGCUAUACCUCUAAACAUCUAACAGCCACUAGGAUUGAAGGUGGAAUAUAUAAUGCAUGGCAACAAGCAUAUGUUGGAGGUAGUGAAUUUAGUUUUGAAAUUCCUCUAAAUUUACAGGAGAGGGAGAUGUUAUUAGGAUUGGCUCUAUCUUGUGUUUUUCCACCACUGCCUUUAUCAGAAUUGGGAUAUCGUUACGUUAUUCGUAUUCUCAUCAACAAAGCAAGUGAUUAUAAAGAAUUUGAGUUGGAUGGGAAAUUCAUGGAGAAAGCUCAUGUGGGGCUCAUGUUAGUGGAUUUAGAAAAGAAGCAGGGAGAUAUUUGUAAAGUUAAAAUUCAAUUCCCCGAAGGGGCAGGCAUUAAAAUCUGCGGGGUGCACCCCUUAUUCCGCAAAGAAGAUGAACGACUUCCCUUGUCUUUGGGACCAACGAGUAGUCUUGGAUCCUCAGAUAUCAUCGAUGAUGAAUAUGAUUGGCAACAACAAUGGCCUUCCUUAUCUUCGAACCCAGCGGAUGAUCAUCCCAAACGCACGCAAAUUGAUCACAAUGUUCUUUCUGAUAUUGAGGAGGAGCAAGAGCAACCGUCCAUAGUUUCUUGGGUACGUACAUUUCAGUUUUAGCGAUUUUUUUAUUAUUCUUUAUUGUGAUAUCUUUUUUAAAUUAAUAUAAUAAAAAUUAAUUAAUUUAAAUUAAAUACAGGAAAAAAUUUGAACAAUUUUCAAUCUGCAUAAUCAAUGAUUUCAUAUCUUUAGAAACAAAGAUUUCAUAUCUGUAGGUGGUUAGGCCAUCUCCAAUCGGGUCCAGAGAAUCAGAAGGCCGAAAAUAACCCGAAAACCAUCUCUAAUCGAGGACUAGGCCAGAGGGCCAACCAGCUGGCCAUCUUCAACCAGCCAACCAGCCCACUUGCUAGCCCAUUUUGUCUUCUUUUUUUUGUUUUUUCAGCCCACUUUAGGUUUAAGGAUUAGGAAUUUUUUUUGUCCCAGUUCCUUUUUUUUUUUUUUAACAUCCCAAUUUUUUUUGGACGAUUUUUUUGUUUAAAUUUCUAAUUUUUUUCCUACACCAUUUCUCACAUAUUUUUCAUCAUUCCAUACUAUCUUAUCUUAUUUUAUUUUAAUUCUUCACAUUCCAUACUAUAGCCCUUUGGCCCUUGGUUGGAGAUGGUUUUUUUGUGACAUGACUAAAACGAGCUCUCUGGUCCUUUGGCCUCUGGUUGGAGAUGAAGGCAAAUAUGGUCAUGUACUGUUCAUUAAAAUAUUAAUAUCUUGGAAGGCCAGAGGGCUAAAACGAGCCCUCUGGCCAACCUUCGGUUGGAGAUGACCUUAGUUAUUAGAAAAACAUAAACCACAUUUGUAUCUUGAAGUACCUUUCACUGAUAAAAUCAAAUUCUAAUUAAUCAAAACAAACAAUUAUGGAAGGAAAAUAUACAAGGAGAAAUGAGAUUCUAAGUACAAAAUUCAAGAUUAAUUACCUAAAAACUUGGUUUUGUUCAUAUAAGUACAAAAUUUCUACACGAAGAUCAAAGAACUACAUUGUUUGGAUGAACAUGUAAACCACAUGCUUCUCUCUCUGUUAAUCAAGUUUACACGCAGAGAUGGAAGACUUGUAGGACUACUGUUUAAUCAAGAGUCAAGGUUUGCAACUAUUUUUUUAUUAGCAUUUACUUCUGCUUUUUCAAUGAAUGAAUAGGUGGAAAAUUUGAUUUGGUGUUGAUUAAUAAGAUUUAGUAGAAUUUUAAUAUCAAGAGGAGAUAACAAUGUAAAAAACAUAGCCGCUUGAAUCAACUUGAUUGAUCUCGACCCUCAUAAUCUCACAGGUCUCGGCCUGCGUCGGUUGUUUAAAUUUCUGGUGUAAGCCAAGAAAGUGAACUCAUUAUACUGCUGCUCUAGUUACUAGUUAGUCAGCCUACUGUUUCUGCCAAGGAACCGAUAAGUCUGCGCUCUCUUUGUGUUCCACCAUCGGAAGCUGGGAGUGAAGCGUGCUGCGUGCAUUAGUUGUUGGAAUUGGACUUCAAAUUCUUCAACAGGUUUGGUAGAAAAAGUUAAAAAGGGAAAUUUUAUUUAAACCCAUGUAACUUUUUUUCUGCACUCCUCAGGUGUAUGAGCAGGCCGGCGUCGCCGUUCUUCUAUCUAACAUAGGGUUGAAUCCGACAUCUGCUUCUCUCUUCGUAAGUGUCAUUACAACUUUCUUAAUGGAUAUAACUGGCAGAAGAUAAUUUCGAACACAUUCGGUUUCCUAGAACCAAUUACUAACUUUUAAUCAAAAUUAUAAUUAGGGUACACUAUACAAACGAUAAAUUACAGUUUAGUGUCCCUUAUGGUUUAUUUAGUGUCCCUCCAGUUUCAAUUUAGACUAAAAAUUUGUAACCGAUUUUAUCUGCAUAUUUGCGGAAAAUAAGCUUUCCUUUUUGCCUUUCUUGGUAUGCAGGUCGCUGCUGCUCUCCACAUUAUAUUGUCCCUCACUCUUCUUGUAGUUGCCAACAUUGUCAACUUGGGAACUGUUCUGAAUGCAACAAUCUCCACCGCCGUGCUUGCUGCUUUGUCAUGGCAUUUGGAGUAACCCCGAACAUUCUCUGCGCAUAGAUCAUCCCAACGAGCAUCGGAGCAUCCACGGCCUCUGCAUUGCCAUCUGUGCCCUCACAUUCUGGAUUGGAGACAUCAUCAUCACUUACGCAUUUCCUGUCAUGCUCUCCUCCGUUGGAUUUGCUGGCAUCUUGGGAAUCUAUGUUGUCGGGUGCAUCGUUCCUGGAUAUUUGUUUACUUGAAGGUGCCUGAAACUAAAGGCAUGCCUCUUGAAGUUAGCUGCUGCUGAUGCAUGUGUUGGAUUCCAAUGAUGACUGAUUUGAUUGUUUAGGGGGUUUGAAAGUUUGGUUUGGCUUUAGAGCAUCUCUAAAGGAGAUGUCAAAAGAUAAAUUUUAAAUGUUAAUUUGAUGGUUGACGUGACAAUGUCAGAUUUUCUCUACUUCCCACCGAUAUGUUUUUUUGUUAUAAAUGAUGUUUGUAGGACCCAUAUUAAAAAAAAUCAAUUAAAAUAUAUUUCGAAGAUCUAUAAUUGGUGCAUUAAUGGGAUCCACAUAAUAAAAUAAUAAAAAAUGAUUUGACAUCACAUUUUCUCAUAUGUUAAAUUUGACAUAGGAAAACUCAUAUGUCAAUCCACAUAAGAUUGAUAUAUAGGUUGGAGCUUACUUUUACUUCAAGUUUGAUUACAUGAUAUUUCACUUAAGAUUUGACAUCUCAUUUGGAGAUAGUCUUAGACUGAGAUUAUGAGGACAUGAUUUGAGUUGGAAAAAGUGCUGAUGACUGGAUUGCAUUUUUAGAAAGUGAUUUUGUAAUCAUCACUAUCCCUCAGGUAUCGUUUGGUAUGCAGACAGGACGGAACGGAAUAGGACUAGACGGGACAGGACGGGAUGGAACAAAGAGGGAGCAAAGAUGUCAUUGGAUGGAAACAAUGAGGAAGAAGAAGGAGACAGAGAGGUUAUAAUUUUGUGUUCCACAGAUGUGGGACGAGUUGUUCCAUGGGAUGAGGCGGAACGAAAAUUCACCCAAAAUUCGUCCCGUGGAACAACGCGUUCCACCCGUUUUAGGCGCACCAAACGUGGGACGGAACGCUUCGUUCCACUCCGUUCCGUCCUGUCCUACGUACCAAACGGUACCUCACUUAAUGUUGCAGAAGUAUAUUUGGUACCAAAAAAUCAAUUAUUUUGGGUCAUAAGAUCAUAAGUGACAUGUUUUGUUUGACUAUUUGCACCACUUCUUAUAAACUUGAAAUACCCCUUUAAGCAUAUUCCAAAAUACUGAUUGAAGUUUUAAAAAAGUCUACCACCCUUGGAUUUCCAAAUGAUUUUUAUCAAUAUGUUUGGUAGUUGCACUUAUCUUUUCCUGUUCAAGUAGACAUAUUUUGAUACGAAUAUUGUUAGAGACGCUCUUACUAAUUAUGAUGAUCAUAUACCAAAUAACUCAAUAUAGAUCAUGAAAGUUCUUACUGAAGUACAGUCUAAUUUUUGUUAGUUGUGAAACUAAUCAAAAUCAAAUUACUUUUCUGACAUAUUUUUUUACAAAUUCGUGUCUAAUACAAAUUCGUGUUUACAAGCCGUACAUCUAUUAGAAAAAUUAUAUACAAAUAUAUGAUAAAUGUAACACUAUUAUUUUUAUAAUAUUUUUUUAAAAUUUUGAAGAACGAAAAUAAAAGAAAAGAAAAGAAACUGUUUUUAACUGCAGGUCUAAGGCAGAGCCCUGUUGCCGCUUAGCAAUAAAAAAGACUGCUGAGAAGGUCAGUCAUCGUCUUCAGCCUUCACCAAAUUGAGUUAGAAGAAUUAGGGUUUUAGAGCUGCAAAGAUCCAAACUUUAUCAGUCUCUCCGAAAGUAAUUAGAGAAAUGGAAACCCAAUCGAAGGACGGAGGACUCUCUGGAGAAGCGGCCCGGCAUCUUCUUCCCUCGGCUCCCCCAGCGUCGGCUAACGCUCUCUCAUUUCCCGUAAGCUCUCUCUCUCUCUCUUUCUCUCUCCUUUGACUGAUACUAAAUUCAUGACCUAUUGAUUUGUAGGAUUACUAGGUUUGGAUUUAGACGAUGCUUCUGAUUCUUCAUCGUCAUCUCAGCUGGUAGUUGAUGGGUAUAUAAAAUUUUGAAUUUUGGGAUCAAAGAAUUCAACUCUUAGGAAUUUUGGGAACAAACAAUUCGUUUUGAAUUCUUUUGAAAUGUGAAUUUUGAUGAUUUUUGUGGUGAAAAAAAAAGAAAGAUGGAAUAUCUCUACAAAGUACUACACAGCUGGUGUUUCAGUAUGGAUGGCUCAUCACCAUGACGAAUUUUUGAUAGUCCCUCCCAACGUAUGAGCAGUUGGCUGCCUUAAUAUUGGUUUUCAACACAACUGAGUUUCGGUCUCUUGCCACUCACUCUUUGUCCCUUUGUUUACUUGUUUAGCAUGAUUUUCAAUGUGUCUUAUAUCAAUUUGCUCGCGUUAUGCUGCAGUUGUCGUCUCUGUCUGCGCUUCAGAAAUGGGUAUCUCAAACUGAUCUUCAAAAGUUCGAUAGACUAGUGUGCAUAGGGAAUAAGGUUGAUCUUGUUCCGGGUCACCCAGUUCAUACCGAAUAUAGAAGACGACUGCAGAAGCUUGGAGACCCAUUUGCUGAUGACGGUCCAGGGUUCACUGCGUAUGGAAUCUCCGAGACUGAAGGAAGCAGUUUAUUGGGGGAUGAUGAGCCAUAUUGGGAGGCUAGGCACACAUGUUUGGAAUGGUGCAAUGAGCAUAACAUUGAGUUUGUUGAAGCUUGUGCUUCAAAUGCUGAUUUUGACAAAUGUAAGGUAGCCCUUCUUUCUGACUUCUUGUUUAUGGCAAGUUUUAUACGAAGGUGAAAAAUAAAAAGUACCCUGUUCGAAGGUAGAAACGUCGUGCAAUUAGGAUGAUUGAAGAUAGUUCGUCACUCAGGAUUUGAUGAAUUUUUACCCAUUGGGACAUUUGAAGGUGUAGGAAACUUUAUUUCAGGGUCUAUUUCACAAGGUAAAGGAUGACCACAAUCAACAAUUUUUAAGGACAUGCCUUUGUAUCAUGAGUCCUUGUACGCUGGAGAAGUCUAGGGAGAAGUAGGACCUUCACGUCGUGUAUGCCUGAAUAGGACAUGGCAGACUAUUACCUAAGUUCAUGUGUCGGCUUCAAUAUUAGAAAGAGUUGGUUAGCCUGAGAAAAUGAAUAAAAGUGAUAUCGUGAUAAAUCAGCACGUCGAUCGUACGGCACACAAAUUUCCUGCUUUGUUGGAUAUCUUUUAAGUUUAAGGUACUGUUUUACAGGUUUGUCAGUUGAUGGCGACUCGCAAGGUAUUGAAUGACUUUUUGGUGCUCUUUCCGCACAUAUGUGGCCUGGAAUGAUUCUGAAAUCAGGCGAUAAGAUUGCUGAACCGUCAUUACCUGAAAGAGGAGUAGGUUUUAUACUAUGCCGCUUAUAUUUGGUUUAUAAUAUAUAUUUUACUAUUAAGUAGGAUUCUAAAUGUCUGAAUCUUGAAUCCUUUGUGCUAGACUUGUCAGAUAAAGAAUCUGAUUAUGAAUUUGAGUAUGAAGUCCUCUCUGCAGGUUCAGCUGAUCCAUUUGAUGACACGGAAGAAUGGGUUUCUGCAAAUGGUUUUGCUGGACCUUCAGAUAUGCGAGGACUGGCUGCUCAAAGUAAUCUUGUCCUAGAAUGCAAACAAGAGAAUGGACCCAGUUCUAAUAAGGAGGUUCCCCAUGCCUCGAACUUGACAGCCGCGUUGGAUGAUAGUAUUAGCAAAGGAGUAUCCAGUGCAGAAGAACCUGAACAGGACACAGACCAUGACCAAGCCCCAGAACCGGAUGAGGGUACGAAUUUUGAAUUUGAAGAUUUGGAACAGUUGAUGUCUGAGAUUGGGAACAUGCGCGACAGUUCAAGAUUGCUGCCGGAUUGUCAGAGAAGAGAUAUGGCUGCAAAGCUGGCCAUGAAAAUGGCUACCAUGUUUGGGGGUGGCAGUGAUGGUGAAGUGGAAAGUAUCGGCGAGUAAAGGCCAUGAGUAUCUAAGAGAGAUGUGAGUGUUAUGAGAGUUAUGAAAUAUUCUGUUUCAUUGAAUUUAUGAGGCUUUACAACUGUGUAUAUAUAUAUAUCUGCUAAUCAUAAUUAGCACCUAAUCAAGUAUAACUAAUUACACUAAGAUAACUAUUAGUUACACUAAGCAUAACAGAAACUGUUAUGAUGUCCUGGAAUAUGUGUCAAUACACCCCCUCAAGCAGACAGGAGGUAAUCCGAGGGAAAGCUUGGACUGCAAAGCACUGAACCGAGCUUUAGAAAGAGCCUUUGUAUGAAUAUCGGCAAUUUGAUGUUGAGUAGGCACAUACUUGACAUGAAGAAGAUGGGAUAGGACCAACUCCCGAAUAUAGUGAUAAUCUAUUUCAACAUGUUUGGUGCGAGCAUGAAAAACUGGAUUCGAUGAGAGAGAGAUGGCAGAAACAUUGUCACACCAAACAACAGGAACUUUGGAUAAAGGAAAACCAAUGUCUCUGAAAAUCUUACAAAUCCAUGUAAUUUCUGCUGCAGUAUGUGCUAGAGAACGAUAUUCAGCUUCUGUGGAAGAGCGAGCAACUGUGCUUUGCUUCUUUGCACUCCAACUGAUAAGAUUGCUGCCCAAAUACACAGUAGCCACUGGUUGAACGCCGGUCAUAAACACAGCCAGCCCAGUCAGCAUCAGAGAAAGCAGUGAGAUGUAGAGCACUCUUUCGAAACCAUAAUCCUUGAGUCACAGAACCCUUAAGAAAUCUGAGGAUCCUUUUGACAGCUUGAUAAUGCAGAUCUCGUGGACAAUGAAGGAAUUGGCAGACUUGAUUAACUGCAAAGGAUAAGUCGGGCCGUGUCCAGGUCAAAUACUGAAGAGCACCAACAAUAGACCUGUAUUCAUGAGGAUCAGAUAAAGGGGAGCCAACAUGAUCUAAUUUCUGACUGCCAAGUGGUGUUGAGCACGGUUUGCAGCCUUCCAUCUUUGCUUUGAGUAAUAAAUCAAGCGCAUAUUUCCCUUGAGAAAGAAAAAUACCCUCUGAAGAUCUGUGGACUUCCAGGCCUAAGAAGUAAUGAAGAGGACCUAAGUCCUUAACUGGAAACAGUGCACCAAGUUGAGUGAUAAUAUCCUUGCAGACUGAAGGAUUGGGACCCGUGACCAAUAUAUCAUCCACAUAAACCAAAAUUAUCACCAAGGCAGGAGAGAAGGUAACAAAGAGGGAACAAUCAGAUUGUGAGUUAGAGAAGCCAAGGGAUAACAGUGCAUGAAACAGUUUGUCAUACCAAGCUCUAGGAGCUUGCUUAAGCCCAUAGAGUGAUUUGUUUAACUUGCAAACAUACGUAGACUUAGAAGAGUCAAUAAAGCCUGGAGGUUGCUGCAUGAAUACUUCUUCUUUGAGGGAACCAUGAAGAAAAGCAUUGCUAAUGUCCAGUUGAUUCAAGAACCAGUCAAACUGAACAGCCAAUGUGAGCAAGAUCCGAAUGGUCACUGGCUUUGCAACAGGGCUAAAUGUGUCCGUAAAAUCCACACCUUCUUGUUGAUGGAAGCCUUUGGCCACUAAUCGAGCCUUGUAUCUGUCCACAGAGCCAUCAGGAUUCCUCUUUAUUCUAAAAACCCAUUUACAACCAAUUAAAUUCUGAUGGGGAGAAGAGGGAACAAGAGUCCAUGUACCAGUAGAUUGGAGAGCUUGAAAUUCCUCUAACAUAGCUUGUUUCCAAGGAGCAUGCUUAGAGGCUUGGGAAUAUGUAGUAGGAACAAAUUGAGCAAGGUCAACAGGAUGUUUGGUUGCUGUUAAAGCCUUUGGUUUAAAUAUGCCAGCUUUGGAUCUAGUUAUCAUUGGGUGAUUAUUGUGGGGAGGUGAAGGGGGUAAUGAUGGAGAAAUCAAAGGAGAGGCAAGAGGUAAAGAAGAGGAUAUAUGAGAAGGUACAGUGGGUGGAGAAACUGAGGAAGAGGCAAGUGGUGAAGAAGAGGAUAUAUGAGAAGGUGCAGGAGGGGCAGUACUAGAUGAAGUAAUGGGAAAGGGUAAAAGAAAGGUUGAAUCUGGAACAGGAAAGGAGGAUUGGGUAGAGGAUGGAAGAGGCUUGUGCUGAAAUGGAAAAUUACUCUCAUUAAACAAGACAUGUCUGGAAAUAUAGACCCGAGAUGUGUGCAUAUCUAAACACCUAUACCCCUUAUGCUGCAGGCUAUAGCCAAGAAAGGCACAUGGUGUACUUUUGCCAUCAAGCUUAGAAGAAACAUAAGGUUUAAGCCAAGGAUAGCAACUGCAUCCAAAAACCUUUAACCGUGAGUAAUCUGGUGGUUUGUGAAAAAGAAGCUCCCAUGGUGAUUUAUCCAAACCAGAAAUUGGCAAUCUGUUAACUAGAUAAACUGUAGUGGAGAAAGCUUCAACCCAAAAUUUGUGAGGAACUUUAGAAGCAGCAAGCAUUGUUCGAGUGGUCUCAGUUAAAUGCCGAUGUUUCCUCUCAACACACCCAUUUUGCUCUGGGGUGUGAGGACAGCUGAACUGAUGCAAAAUACCAUGUUGGAGAAGAAAAGAACGAAACUGAGAACUUGUAAACUCACCCCCUGAAUCAGACCGUAAAGUCUUGAUUUUGUUUCCAGUCAAGGUCUCAACAUAAGAUUUAAAAUGCACAAAUAUGGAGAAGACCUCAGAUUUGAACUUCAAAGGAAAUAGCCAACUGUAUUUGGUAAACUCAUCAACAAACAGUACAUAGAAUUUAUAUCCACUGACAGAGGAGAUAGGAGCAGGGCCCCAAACAUCACAAUGAACAAGUUCUAAACUGUGAGUAGUACUGCUAGUGCUUACAGAAAAUGGCAACUUAUGAUUUUUACCAAUUGCACAAUCUUGACAAAAGAAAGAUACAGAUGGUUUGCCAGUGUAAGCAAGCUUAUUUCUACUUAAGAUCUUCCGGAAGAUUGCAGAAGAGGGAUGUCCAAGCCGCUUAUGCCAAAGUUGUAAGGAAGCUGGAGUACUAAUAUUAGCAUAGGAUGAGGUAGAAACUGGAGCACAAACAGAAGCAGGUGAAGUACCUUGCACAGGAUAAAAGCCAGAGCUAACUGGCCCCUGAAAAAGCAUCCUCCCCGUAGAACGGUCCUUGAUUGUAGAACCAUCAGAAUCAAGGAUUAAUUGACAGUAAUUAUCCUUUAAAAAUUGAUAUGCAGAGAGGAGAUUAAACUUCAUAUGAGGAACAUGGAGAACAUUGUUCAACUUAAAUGCGGCAGAUGGAGUGUUAAGAACAGAAGUACCAGUGUGGUGAAUGGGCAUACCUUGACCAUCACCAAUAUAGACUUUGUCGUCACCAUGAUAAGGCAUAGGAGAAUGAAUAGCAGAGAUAUCAUUCGUGAUAUGCGAGGUAGCUCCAGAAUCCAAAAUCCAGGUAGGAGAGGUAGAUUUAGCAGUGGUGUGAGCACACAUUGCUGCCAAUUUUGCAGGUGGAAUUUUUCCAGCAAAGGCAUGAUUCAUGCGUUCAAAGCAGUCAAUUGCUUCAUGAUCAUGAGAGUGACAGAUUUGACAGGGAACUCGGCUACCAGAGUACUGUCGAUUGGAGCCUCCUGAAGAGCGACUUGGAGUGUAGGAGUUGCCUCGGAAAUUAUUAGUCCCACGAUAAUUGGUAAAACUGCGAUUGUUGCCACGAUUAUUGCCACGAGUGUGACCACGAUGGCUGCCUCGAUAAUUCUUAGAAGAAUUAUAGUUGGAGUAUGGAGCAACAAAUGCUUGAGGAAAGGCAUUAAAUUGAGGCGUUGGAAGAAGUGGAGCCUGAGAACGCUGAGACUGAGCAGCGUAGGCAUGAAAUGGUUCUGUAACAGAAGGAACAAUAGACUUCUUCUUUCGAUCCAUAAAGAGUUCUUUGUUGAUCAAUAAGCCAUGAAGUUCAUCAAGAGAGGUGGAGGAAAUUCGCAACAUUAUAGAGUCAAUGAAGGAUUCGUACUCAUCAGAGAGGCCAUUGAGCGUAACAGCAAUAAGAUCAGGAUCAGAAAUUGGCGCUCCAGCCGCCAUUAAAGCAUCUGAAAUUCCUUUGAUUUGUUGAAUGUAGGCAGAGAUUGAAAGAUCACCUUUCUGAACAGAGUGAAGGCGAGUGCGGAGUUGGUGAAUGUGCACAGCGGAGACACCACCAAAGCGUUGUUCAAGAUUGAUCCACAGUUCGCGAGAUGAAGAUACACCGACAGUAAAAGGGAUGAUUUCUUCAGAUAAAGUGGAAUUUAACCAAAUGAGGAUGUUUUGAUCCUUUUCAUACCAAGCUUCAAAGGCUGGAUUCGGAGCACCGGUGCUGUGGCCAGAACUAUCAAGAAGAAACGGCGGUGGACAUACUUCAGUACCGUCAAGAAUGCCAGUGAGCUUGUAACGGCGAAAGAUUGGAGCAAAGAGCGCCUUCCAGAUGAGAUAAUUGUCUCGUUUGAGCUUCGUGGGAACCAUACAACUAAUGUUUUGGAUUGUGAUUGAAGAAAUAGAUGAAAUUGGGAAAUUAGGGUUAGGGUUCAUCGAAGAGGAAUUUGGGGCAAGAAUGUCUGGAUUCGCUGGAGAAGACGUCGAAGAUGCCAUCGGAGAGACAGAGAAACAGAGAUGAAAGAUCGAAAAGGGGAAGAAUCGAUCAAGAGCUGAAGAAAACCACAGAGAUCACGAAGAGGUGGAGAGGAUCUUGAAGAUCGAUGAAAAUCGCGAAGAGGUGGAGAGGAUCGCGAAGAGGCGGUUAAGCAAAGGCUCUGAUACCAUAUGAGAGUUAUGAAAUAUUCUGUUUCAUUGAAUUUAUGAGGCUUUACAACUGUGUAUAUAUAUAUAUCUGCUAAUCAUAAUUAGCACCUAAUCAAGUAUAACUAAUUACACUAAGAUAACUAUUAGUUACACUAAGCAUAACAGAAACUGUUAUGAUGUCCUGGAAUAUGUGUCAAUAAGUGUUACACAUCCCUGAAUUUCCUUCUUGGACUUUUUUCCACAAGGUGGCAAGGAAAGGAGAAUCGGCAGUCUUCUUCUUCUCUUUUACUGUAUAAGUAGGUUCAGAAUAGUCGAUACCAAUUAACCGUGCCCGAACCGAGUUUGUAAGAAAAUUGUGCUUUUAAUGAAACCAUGGAAAUGUUGGGAUUGCAUUCGAAAAUCGAAGGGAAGAAUCGAUUCCUGUAUGAGCGCAAUUAGUGAUGAUGUUUCAAAACUUUGAUAUGAAAACCAAUGUACAAAUUACAAAUUUCCUCCAAUGAUGGAUGCAAAUCAAUCUUAGUUGAUGAGUCAAUUUUAUACUAUAUAUUACUCCCUAUUCUUGGUAUAUUUUGGUUAUUAUUUUGGUGAGAUUUUGAUGCUUUGUUAUGUGUUUUUAAUGUAGGAC